UUUUUUUUUUUUUUUUUGAGCAAUGUCUCAAAGCUUUUCAUAGACUUGAAAAUGGACCUUCUUUUUUUCCCACUUUAAAAAGCAAUUUCCCCUUUUUUUUUCAAUAUGAAAAUAGCUCUGAAUAAAAACAUAAGGAAUUUUUUUUUGUUAAUUUCAAUUUCAAUUUUCCAUUAAAGCUUAAGCUAUGAUUCUUCGAGGAGUUAUUAGCUCUCACUAUUCGCUUCGUCUUCUUCUAAUUGGCUUUCUAGUAGUUUCUUCUUCAAUAACCAGAGUUCUCAGUGGGGGUGUUAUUCAUGUUAAAUACAAAUUCGCUGGCAGUCAACGUUCGAUCGUUGACUUAAAAGUCCACGACAGCGUUCGUCAACUCCGGAUCCUCGCUGGUGUUGAUCUUCCCUUGGGUGGUUCCGGUCGACCCGACGGUCUUGGGUAAGUGUUCCGUUUUUUUUCCCCUUCUUUCAAUCAUUGAAUUCGCUAUGUUUGUAUGGAAUUCGAAUUAGCUUGGGUCCGUGUUUCAUUAAUUCUUCUUUUAAUUAUUCAGCUUGCUAAGUUCGUACUAGAUUUGAUUUUUUUUAAACGAAGUUUGUGUUUGUGUGUGCGUGUGUUUAAAUGGUUAUUAUUUUUUUGUAGGCUUUAUUAUGCUAGAAUAGGGAUAGGAACACCUUCAAAGGAUUACUAUGUGCAAGUAGAUACAGGAAGUGAUAUAAUGUGGGUUAAUUGUAUUCAAUGUAAAGAAUGCCCCAGAAGAAGCUCUCUUGGUGUAAGUCUUUCCCCCCUUUUUUUUUUUAUCAUUCUUUUUGUGUUUUCAUUAAGCUUUAUUUGGUUAUGGCUUUUACUUAUUAUAUUUUGCUUACUUUUAAUCUUUGGUUCUUAAAAUAACACCUGGCUGGAAGUAAAAUUACGCUAAAUGAUUGAAUAUUUAUAUAUAAAGAUUGAUAAAAUUCUGGGAAAAUAGUUAUUUGUUUUUGUAUUCAAACCUAAACAGUAAAAGUUGAAAGUAACAAUGAGUUGCUUUUGAAGUUCAAUUUGUCAAAAAUAUUCAUUGCCAAAUAUGUUAUUAGGGUAACAACUAACUGCUAAAGAUUGUCCUAAAUUCUUGGUAUACCUAUCACAUUUGAUUGUUUUUUGUUUUACUUUAUAUGCUAUGGUUACAGAUAGAUCUUACUUUGUACAAUAUUGAGGAUUCUGCCACUGGCAAGUUGGUUUCAUGUGAUCAAGAUUUUUGUUAUGCCAUAAAUGGAGGUCCACUGGCUGGUUGUACGGCUAAUAUGUCUUGUCCGUAUCUUGAGAUAUAUGGAGAUGGGAGUUCCACUGCUGGAUACUUUGUAAAUGACAUUGUGCUAUAUGAUCGAGUGUCUGGUGAUUUGAAGACCUCAUCUGCAAAUGGAAGUGUUAUAUUUGGGUGAGUCGUCAAUCCUGCUCAUACUCUUCUCUAAUUCAUACUUGUGCUACAUGUGGUACUGUGUUAGCUUUUAAAUUCUGAACUUGUAACAUUCUGUGCACUUCAUUGCUAAAUAUUCUAACUUGCAUGUGUAACUACUGCUGAUAUCAUUACAAGUUAAUCUCUUUAAUUUUAAAAUUCAAAGUUCUUAUGUUUCCUUUCUACGUAGCAUAACAUUAUAGUCAUCUAGAUUUUAAGAACCAUUUACAAAUUAUUCCUGAAAAGUAGAAAAAGUUUUUGAAAAUUGAAUCUAAGUUCUUUAGUGCUCCACGUAGUUUCCUGAUUAGUUUGUUUUGUGAGAUUUUGUUUGAACUGUAUACCCCUUUCAGGGUUCUUCAGAAUCAUGUCAUGAGAUCACUUUAGUUUCAAACAUGCCUGGGUUAAUGAAUGCUUUUGCAUAUGUAACUUACAGAUUGUGUUUGUAAAGUAUGUGUAUGUUUGCUGUUUUAUUCUGCUUUUUUUAAAGGUAUUUUAUGGUUACUCUACCUUUCUUUUUUCAUAGGUGUGGAGCUACACAAUCAGGGAAUCUAGGUUCAUCUAAUGAAGAAUCACUUGAUGGAAUACUUGGUUUUGGAAAAGCUAAUUCAUCAAUGAUUUCCCAGCUUGCUUCAUCUGGAAAAGUGAAAAAUAUGUUUGCUCACUGCUUAGAUGGGGUUGAUGGAGGCGGUAUCUUUGCUAUUGGGCAUGUUGUGCGACCAAAAGUUAAUAUGACCCCAUUGGUACCAAAUCAGUAUGUGACAUCUUUGGUGAAUAUCAUUGCUUGUACUUUAGCAUCAAUGUUUUCACUUGCUGAUAUUUUAUUUUUCGUUGAUUUGGAUUAGUUUAGCAUUGUGUUAUAAAACUACAUUAGUUUUUCAAGGAAAGUAUCACUGUUCAUGGAGAAUCAUUUGCCUGAGUGGAUUGAAUGAGAUAGUGUGUUGUUAAACUUUUUUCUGUUUUGGUCAACAAAUUUUUCUAACAUAAUUGAAGUGGUCAAAUUCUGGAAAGGCUCUCUUGUGAAAUGCUGCAUGAAAUUGUUCACUUACUACAUCUGAAAUUUCUCUAUGGCUUAAAACCAUUGUUUAGGUCAGCAACACAUUGUUAUUGUCUGGAUCGUAGACUAGCUUCUCCAGCAUACAAUAUUUAAUCAGCUUAUUCACUUAUGCAUGUGAUUCUGUACAUUGAACUCAAUUUUGUUAUGUGAAAUUUCAGGCCACAUUACAAUGUCAAUAUGACAGCAGUUCAAGUUGGUCAUGAUUUCCUAAGUUUUACGCCUGAUAUUUUCGAUUCCGGAGAUCGACAAGGGGUAAUAAUAGACAGUGGAACAACCUUAGCUUAUCUCCCAGAAAUGGUUUAUGAACCAUUAGUUAGUAAGGUAUGUGAUAUAAAUUUGGUUUAUAUAUUUCAGAUAGUUUCACUUCAGUCUGCUAAAGUGUUACAUUUUUUUCCUUUUUAAUCUCUGGUUAGAUACUUUCUCGGCAGCCUGAUUUGAAGCUUCAAACUAUUCAUGAUGAAUAUACAUGUUUUCAGUACUCUAAGAGGUAUGAAACAUGGAUAUAGCAAUUGUGACCUUUGAGCACCUAUGUACAUUCCCCUCUUGUUGCUUCUUUGAAAAUGUUUAUCAUGCUUAAAUUUGGAUUUUUAUUUUCAUUUAUUUCUUAUCUUAAAUUUCUUUAAGUAACUAAAUUUUAUGUGGCAUCCUAAUCUUAUUGUGGGAAUAUUUUUAUCAGAUUUUUGCACUUCACAUUUUCUUUUGGUUUGUGUUUCAAUUUUUAAUUAAUUUUUCCUUAGUAAUAGUUUGUGCUUGCUUCCUUUGUGCUAGCUUGAACCUGCCUUUUAGGUGCUUCUAAUCAAUUUUUCUGAUCAAGGAAAUUGUAUGCCAUUAGUACAUUUCUUUAUGAUUAUUGAUUCAAAUUUUAUUUCUAGCUAUAUAUUUCUUGAUGACGCUAGUGUUAGUGCUUGACUCUCUUUUCCCCCCUCCAAAUGUUCUGAAUACAAUCUUUUGCUCCCAUUGGCCAGAUUAACUGGAGUAAAUGACUCAUAUACUGAGUUCUAUAUGCUACACCUAUUUUAAUUCCUAGUUUGUCAAGGAACAAUUUUAUUUACAUGUAUUUAUUUUCUUGCAGUCUUGAUGAGGCAUUUCCAAAUGUCACUUUCCAUUUUGAAAAUUCAGUGACUCUGAAGGUUAAUCCACAUGAGUACCUAUUCCCCUAUGUAAGUAUGUUUCACUGCAGAAAUUUAGAAUCUUUAUUAUUAAUGGUGGCCAUAUCUGUAUGUUCUGAUGAAAUAAACAUUUGUAUCUCCUUUCAAUUUGGACUAUGCUUUAUGCUUGUGUGAAGAAGUCUUUCAAAACACUUGCCAUUUCUCUUCCUUGGUCUAAUUUUAGUUUAGGAAAGUCUUUAGUUUUGCUACUAUUUAAAGGCCCCUUGUGUAACAUUUACCUGGUCUUUGGCUCAACAUGUAACUAUUAGAUUAGGUUCAAUGAAUUUUAAAUAGGUUUUAUUUGGGAACUACAAUGUUUUUGAAUGCAAACCAGUAGUAUAAUUUUAACAAUUACUACAUAUUAGGAUUGUUUAUGCCAUGUGAUUAAAUCUAUAGUGUCUUACAGGUUCUUCAGAAUAUGUAUAAUUUUAACAAUUACUGCAUAUUAGGAUUAUUUAUGUUGCAUGGUUAAAUCUAAAGUAUAAAACAUGUAGAGUUUGCAUAAAUUGAUAUUUACAAGAAUGGAUUUGUGCAGAAUGGGUUGUGGUGCAUUGGAUGGCAAAACAGUGGAAUGCAAUCCAGGGAUCGAAAGAAUAUGACCCUUUUGGGAGGUAUGCCUUCCAAACCUACUUUUUAUUAUGUCAGAAUUAAAGACCUAUCUUCCAACUGAGAAUAACAUGACUUAAUGUAGAUUUAGUCCCUGUUGCUUAAGUAAAUAACAUGAAUUUUGUAACUUUAUCUGCCUUAAUAUUACUCUCAGCUAGGAGGGCUUGCAUUGAAUUAAUGAAACUAUCGGCUUCACACUACUAGGUUUGCCUCACUCAGUCCCUGUGAGAAUAAUGAUUGUAUAAAAAUCUCUUAAGCAUGCUCCAUUUAUUGAAAAAUGUCGUAUACAGACUUUCAGAACAGCUCAGAUAGAAAACUUUCAAGAUUGCUUUAAGCCAAAUCUUAAAACUAUAUAAAUGUCUGACAUAAGUAAAACCUAAAAUAAGAUUCUAUGGCCAAAAUGUGCGAAAUCCAGUGAAUCCAAAACUCAUCAUAAUUCCUAGAGAAACAUAUACCCCUUGACAUUAGAUGUCCUUUAUAUUACGGUGCGAAAAUAUUUUGUUGCUUAUUCUUUUAAAUUAUCAUUAAAAAUACCUUUUUACCAUACCCUUUUCAGAAAUUUUUUUUUAGGUUGUCCUGAAUGAUUGGUUAUUUUUAUAACUUGGAUUAAAAAGGUUUUACUCAUCAAAUCCAAGUGAAUACUAAAUGGAAUUCUUGAGUGUGUACCGUGUAGCAUUGAUUUUAUUAGACCGUAAGAUGCAAUAGUAUUUGCUGAAAUUAAAGUAAUUUGAAUUUUCCAUGGGACUUUGCUUUGUUGCUUACAGAUUUAGUGCUUUCCAACAAGCUGGUUUUGUAUGAUUUGGAAAAUCAGACCAUUGGAUGGACUGAGUACAAUUGUGAGUGUCGUGUUACUUUCCCUUUCACGAUUGCUUUAUAAAUUUUGUACUAAUUGGUAUAAAUCUCAGUGAAUUAUUAUUGUUUCUUUUGUUUUAUAAGAGAUGUUUCUGCUUUACUUAUCUUACUUGAUUGUGUCUCAAUAAGUAUUACUAUAAUAGAAUGUUUUUGAUAGUUACAUUGCCCUUUCUAUAAAGAUAUGCCAAUCUUUUAAAGAUAUUCAAAUUUUCCAUCUAUACUCCGACCUAUGUUACUUGGAGUAGGAUGUAAGUGCGGUUUACGAGUAUAUGUCCGACAUCGGUAUGUUCAAUUUUUAUUAAAAGUUUUUCCAUGUAUUUGGAGGGUUCUUAGAAAGUCAUAUCCGUACACCCAUAUGGGUAUUUCAAGCAAAACUAAGGAUUGGAGCAACCUAGACUCCAAUUAUUAACUCGUUCAUGUUAAGAAAAGUCAUGUUUUCCAAAAUUACUUCUGUUUUUGACUUUCGAGUGAAUACAAUUCUUUUAUCUAGUGUGUUUGAUGGUUUUCAGCAGCGAAGUAUCUAUUAUAGCUAGAAAGAAGCACAUGAUCUGUUGUAGAGAUCUAAGGUUCUUUGUGUUCCUGUCUCAUGACAUUUUUCUAUGGUUAUUUAUAGGUUCUUCAAGCAUACAAGUGCUGGACGAAAGGACCGGAACUGUGCAUUUAGUAGGUUCCCAAAACAUUUCUUCUGCUUGCCAUUUGAAUGCCUGGUUUAUUACGGUUUUGAUCUUGUUAGCUACGUUACCGCACUUUUUGGGCUGCUAGUAAAUCUGUAGACAAUACGAAAAAAAGCUAACAAUCAAUUUAAAGAUAAAAGAAAUCAAAUAUAAAAUAGAAAUCAAGAUAUUCAUCUUGAUAUAGUUUGUUGAAAUGAUAGAAUAGAAUAGAUAACUUGGACAUCUCUAUAUGUAUCCAUCCAUACAUGGCAUAGCAAUAAACUGGGAUAAAAAAAAUUGUAAGACAACCACUAUUGUUCUAUAUUUUUUGCUUUGCCUGGUGAAUAUGUGGAAAUACAGGAAAUUAACCAGGUUCACUUGUUCUAUUCCUAUUUAUGGUAGAGCUUAGCUUGUGGUGAAAGGUUUUUUUUUUUGUUGGGUUCAAAUGAGGUCGUAGUUGAGGUUGGGGUAUAAUCGUUUGGGUUUUGAUGAAUUUUUAAAAAUUAGAUAUGUUUAAAAAUCGAGUUCAAUAUAUUAUUGUUUUAUUAAAUAUUAAAUAUUUAUAAUUAAUUUUAAUAAAUAUUGAUUUAUAUUUAAAUGGUAGUUCGAUCCAAAUCCAAAAUUAAAUUCAAUCAAAUCGGAUCUGUUAUUGAAUAAGAAAUAUUAUCGAUAGAGUUUUAAUUCGAUUGAUAUGGAUAUUAUUACUAAUAUAAGAAGAUGUCAAUUUGAGUAUGUUAAAAUAUAUUAUUAUCUUAUUUAUUGGUUCGGGGUCGGAUUAAAAAAAAUCGUUGAGGAGUAAAAAUAAAUAAUUUGCUUCUGCGUGAAACACAUGCUCGAAGACAGCACGUGCGGUUGGUAUUAUGUUACUCUUAAACGGUAAAAAUACUUAGCAGGUUCCUCUAUCAUAUGGACUAGAUUAAAUUAAUUCAUUUAUUAUUGAAAUGAAAACUUUAGUCAUGCUAUUAAAAAAAAUCAAAAUUGGAAAAAAUUUAGGAUUCAAUAAAAUCUUUUUGUCUAGUUUUACAAAAAAAAAUUAUAUAAUAUUUUAAAUAAUACAUAUUAAUUAUAUUACAAUUUGACAUUAUUUGAUAUUUUAACGGUACAUUGAUUAAAUUCUUCCAUUUAAUAAUAGAUGGAUUAAUUUAAUCUAGUCCUUAUAAUAGAGGGACUUUGUAAGUACUUUCACCUUGUCAAUACAUAAACAACGACAUCAUUUUAAAGGUGUAAAACAAAAAAGGUUAAAAUUAUUUCAUUCAGUCAAGUCAACUCUUUGUACAUUUAAAAUUUAAUUCAUCUAAUUUUAGUUUUUGGAAUUAAUUUUUUAUUUUUAAAUUUCAUAGUAAUUUAGGUUGAAUUGUUUACGUGGCAUUUUGAAAUAAAAAAAGGUUUUAAUUACAACGUUGGCCUCCAAAUUAUACACUUUUCGACUUAGAUACUUAAAUUUUUUUUUUUUGGUCAAAAGUGAUAUUCAAACUAUCAAUUUCAUCUCAUUUUAUCUGAAAAAGUCUAGGAUAUCCAAUAACAAAUGUGCCAUGUUCUUAUUGGUUGAUAUCUUAUUUUUGGGUAAAACGAGACAAAAUUGAUAGUUUGUGUACCACUUUUGACAAAAAAAUUAAGUACUUAAGUGAGAAAAAUAAUAUAGUUUGAGAGCUAGUUUUAUAUUUAAACCUAAAAAAAUACUUAACUUGUUAGUCCAAUAACCAAAAAAAAAAACCUAUUAAAAUUGAGUUAACAAAAGGAUUAUAACGAUUUUAAUAAUUAAACUUGUAAUUUUAAACCCGAAAAAAUUAAAAUUUUUGAAAUAAAAAUAAAAACCCUAAAUUUUAAAUGGACAAAAAUUACAAGGACUUAUAUAAUAUUUUAACCCAUUAAAAUUUUAUUUACUGUGCGUGUAAACUGUAAAACCAAAUUAAAGUUUAUUUGUUUUAUUAUUUAUAUAUUAAUUUUAUAGCUAAAACCCUAAUCAUUUAAAUACCUCUUUUCCUCUCUAAGUUUCUAGCAGUGUUCCUCAGCAAGCAAACAUUUCUCUUAUUUUUAUUUUAAUUUUUUUUUCAUAAAUUUCCUCUCUCUUUUUUCUAAACCCUAGAAUCUCAUCUCAUUGAACUGAAUUUGAGCAUCUAGGGUUUAGGUUUUUUUUUUGGGUUUAAAGUUUUAAUUUCACAAUUUUUUUCAUAAAAAAAAUGGAUGUUCCAAGUCUUGUUGUUGUUCUUCAAGCUGCUCUUAGUCCCAAUCCUGCUGAACGCAAAGCUGCUGAAGAAAGUCUUACUAAGGUUCUUUUUUUUAGUUUAAUUGUUAUGUAAUUGGCUUUGAUUAUCUGUUUUUAGAUCAGAAGAUUGAUUUUCUUUGGUUUUCUUUUUUGGAUUUUUGGUUUCAGUUUCAGUAUACGCCACAGCAUCUGGUGAGAUUGUUACAGAUCGUCAUUGAUGACAAUUGCCCUAUGGCUGUUCGUCAAGUUGCUUCUAUUCAGUUCAAGAACUUCAUUGCCAAGAAUUGGGCUCCUCUUGAUCCUAGUAUAAAAAUUUUAAUCAAUCAAUUUUACUUUUUUAAUAUAUUUUUCUCUCUAUAUUUAUGUUUAUGAAUAUGAUAACGGAUAUAUAUUUGUUUUGUCUUUAAUGAAUGUAGAUGAGCCACAGAAAAUAUUGCAAAGCGAUAAAGAUAUGGUUCGUGAUCAUAUUCUUGUAUUUAUUGCUCAAGUUCCUCCUUUGUUAAGGUACCAUUGUGUAGUGUCCCUCUUUUUUUGGUUUUUUUUUCUUUCAGAAUUGUUUACUAGUUCAUUGGUUGUCUCGCAGAUUGCAUUCUUAAGUUGCUUUUUGAUUCAUGUUGUAUUUUAUUGCAGGGUGCAAUUGGGUGAGUGUCUCAAGACCAUUAUCCAUGCUGAUUAUCCGGAGCAGUGGCCACGGCUACUGGAUUGGGUGAAGCAUAACCUACAAGGUCAGCAGGUUUAUGGGGCUUUGUUCGUGUUGCAGAUUCUUGCUAGAAAAUAUGAGUAAGAACAUAUAUAUAUAUCACAUUCUCUUUUUGUCAGCAUGUUUUCUUUAUUUCAGGUUCCAGUUAUUAUCUUGUAUUGUUGCAUUUGUAUUGUAAUUCUUUUAACGUAAAGUGCCUUCUGAAGGUGAUGCAAACUUAUUUGUUUUAAUGCAAUUAACAUCAUUUGACAGCUUUAAUGAUUGAUUAUGGUAUUUGCUUGGAGGAAAGUUUACACGAUGUUUUGAUUCAAAUAACCGGUCCUAGUUGUCUUAGUUUAGUGCAUCCUUAUGUUGUUAUUCUUUGAUUCUUUAAUACUAAUUUAUAAUUUUCUUUAAUAUUCUAGGUUCAAGUCAGAGGAGGAGAGAACUCCAGUUCAACACAUUGUUCAGGAGACAUUUCCUCAUCUUCUCAAUAUAUUCAGCAGACUUGUCCAGAUUGAAAAACCAGCAGUUGAAGUAGCAGAUCUGAUAAAGCUUAUUUGUAAAAUUUUCUGGUCAUCAAUCUAUGUAAGUCCAAAUUGCUACUUUAUUGUUCAUCAUUUACUAGAAUGCUAAAUAAUAGUCCAUUUUAGUGCUUUCCUUUGUAUUUAUUUUUAUCUCAAGGAACAGCAUGUGCCAAAUAUUUUGAGCAGAACUAUUUAUAGUACAGUAUUUUUAUGUCUACGGUUACCAGUUUUCUUUAAUUUGUUUUAUGAGGUUUUUUUGAUUCAUAUGCCAUCUUUGGGAUAUUUUUUCUACUUUUCAGUUGGAGAUUCCAAAGCAGUUACUUGAUCCUAAUGCAUUCAAUGCUUGGAUGAUGCUCUUCUUAAAUGUUCUGGAGAGGUCUGUCCCUUUGGAAGGCCAACCUCUAGAUCCUGAGCUCCGGAAAUCAUGGGGCUGGUGGAAGGUGAAAAAAUGGACUGUUCAUAUCUUAAAUAGGCUAUAUACUAGGUAAGCUGAGAAAUUGGAACAUGGUUUGGAGUUAUUUUUGGUAGUCCUCAAAUUAUCAAUCUUGUUUGUGAUUUUGGUGGCUAUAUUACAGGUUUGGAGAUUUAAAGCUUAGGAAUCCAGAAAACAGGGCUUUUGCCCAAAUGUUUCAGAAGAACUAUGCAGGAAAAAUUUUGGAAUGUCACUUAAACUUGUUGGGUGUUAUUCGUGUUGGUGGCUAUCUCCCUGACAGAGUUACCAACCUUAUUCUUCAAUAUCUAAGCAACAGGUUUGCAGUGUGUUAAUGCUUAAAUUGGGUUAAUAGUUGGUGCUUUGAUUUUGUUUAGUCAGUUUAAGAUGUUCUGUGAGAGCUGGCAAUUAUUUUGGGAUAAUUGGACCACCACUUUUUCAAGGCUAAAGUUGCCUGUAUUUAACUGGAAGAAUAGGUUUUUUUUUGAAUAUCUUCUUUCCAUUGGUGCCUGUUACUUUCUCUCUGUUGCCAAGUGAGAAAUAUGCUGAGCUUAAUGGAGGAUUUAUGACUACCUAGGAUUUGAUGUUCAUAUUGUGUUAACAUAAAAGCCACGAAUUUUUUCUGUUGCAGUGCUAAUAAGAGUAAUUUCUCUUUGUAUUGUAUAACUUCUUUUUAUUUUUGUAAACAAACGAAACCCCCAUGCCAGUUCCUACUUUUCUGCCCUAUAUUUAUUAUGAUGGUAGGGUUCCUUGAUUGCAUCACACAAACAAGAAGAAUGGAUCAUUUCCAAGGAUGAUUGUAUCUCACAACCACAAAAGCUAUAAGCUAAGAUUGAAAUGUAUGCAUAUACCUUCAAUAGAGGAGUACGCUAAUUUAUAUAUGGACCCUUAAACUUGCAGUGUAAGUUAACAAGCUUUACUUGACUUCAAACUCAAGAAAAUGGAAAAACAAACUUCACUUGAAAUCAAAAUUAAUAGGGUAAGGAAAACGACACUAAGAUGCUAAGCGCUGAUUAAAUGUAAAGUACUAAAUGAUAUAUGAACAAUUAAGCUCAAAAAGUGUAACAAAAUAAUACCUCAAGUAACAAAUAAAAUACUAAAUAAACCAUGAACAAUUAUCUUCUAAGGUUUCUGCAUAUACCAUGUUUUCAUUCUGCAAAUUGUAUUUAGUUUACAAAUGUUCCACAUGGAUUUUGACAGAAAUAACAUUUAUUUAUAUGCAGCAUCUCGAAAAAUAGCAUGUAUACUUUAUUGCAGCCACAGCUUGAUGUUCUUCUUUUUGAGAUAGUCUUCCCUCUCAUGUGCUUCAAUGACAAUGAUCAAAAGCUUUGGGAGGAAGAUCCACAUGAGUAUGUAAGGAAGGGCUAUGGUAAGCUCCAAAAACCUGGUAUGUCUGUUGCAAAACCUUGAAUGAGCCACAUUGGUCAUACAUUUUAUUCUUGCACUCCAGAUAUAAUUGAAGAUUUAUAUAGUCCAAGGACUGCUUCCAUGGACUUUGUGAGUGAGUUAGUCAGAAAACGUGGAAAAGAGAAUCUUCAAAAGUUUAUUCAAUUCAUUGUGGAAAUUUUCAAGAGGUAUUCUUUUACUUUUGAAGCUUAAUAGAGACAGGAAUAUUGGGAUUCUUUAAUUUUGACUUGUUGGUAUAUUCAUGCCAUCUUUUUCUUAUUCCAGAUAUGAUGAAGCACCGUUAGAAUAUAAGCCCUACCAACAGAAGGAUGGUGCCCUCCUGGCUGUUGGAGCACUUUGUGAUAAACUGAAACAGACCGAGCCCUAUAAAUCUGAAUUGGAACAUAUGUUGAUGCAGCAUGUUUUCCCAGAGUUCCGCAGUCCUGUUGGUCAUCUUAGAGCCAAGGUUUGUUUCAAUUUUUUCUCAUAGGGACAUCUUGAUCUUCUUCUUUCGAUGCUCUUUUCUGAGGUUUCAUAGAGAUAUAUAUAUAGAUACAUUUGCAUCUGAGAGAGUUCUCUUAGUUUUAUACCUUUUUAUAUGGAUUUUAGGCUGCAUGGGUAGCAGGACAAUAUGCCCAUGUAAACUUCUCUGACAAGAAUAAUUUCCUCCAAGCACUGCAUAGCGUUGUUUCUGGGUUGCGUGAUCCGGAACUUCCUGUUCGUGUCGAUUCAGUUUUUGCAUUGAGAUCAUUUGUUGAAGCUUGCAAAGGUAGAUAUUUGAUACUUUUGCUUUGAGUAUUAUUUUAUAAUUUGUAUGAGUUGAUUUUGGAUUAAGCAAGCUAGCAGUUAAGUCUGCAUUUGUAGUAAUCUGGUUUCUAAUUACUACCUAUGUUAUGCCCAUAUACACCUCUUUUUUUGUCAUUAAUUGUAGUGUUGACUGCCUUACUGAUAUGAAGUUGUUUAAAUGCAGAUUUAAAUGAUAUCCGUCCUAUUCUUCCUCAACUACUUGAUGGUAAGUGACAUUUAGUGCUUGUAGUAUCCUAUUAGCAGCUUCUGAUGAUCUGAUGUUUCAACUUUAACUUCUCACUUGGGACACUGCUAUUUACUUUUCUUCUUUUCUAAACUCUCGAAUAUUUUAUAUGAUUAUGUUGAGAAUUCCGUCAAUUCACACAGUACCGAGUUACUUUUUCUCAUUCAAGUGAUGUAGUCAAUAAUUUGCAAUUUCAUUUCCUACAGAGAUUUUUAAACUUAUGAAUGAGGUUGAGAACGAGGACCUUGUUUUUACUCUGGAGACCAUAGUUGACAAGUUUGGGGAGGAGAUGGCGCCAUAUGCUCUUGGAUUGUGUCAGAAUCUGGUAAUGCAUGUUUUCAUCAUUUUUUAAAUUACCAAGUUUCUAAUUUUCUGGACCCGAAACUAUCGUCAUGUCUCUGCUUUCAGGCAGCUGCAUUUUGGAGGUGUAUGAACACCACAGAAGCUGAUGAUGAAGCUGAUGAUCCCGGUGCCCUUGCUGCAGUCGGCUGUUUGCGUGCCAUAAGCACAAUACUUGAAUCAGUUAGCAGGCUUCCUCACUUGUUUGUUCAGGUUGAGCCAACUUUGCUUCCAAUCAUGCAAAGAAUGCUGACAACUGAUGGACAAGGUCUGUACAGUCUCUCUCUCUCAACUGUCCCAAUGAUUAUUUUUAUUUGUUUUAUUUUCUCAAUAGUGAAAUGUACUGUUGCCACCAGAAAUGAGACUGGAUUGAAUAUGCAUUAUAUUAGUUUAUUAAAGAAUCUAAUGUUUAGGUGUGAAAUUUCAAGCUGCUAUAGUAAAGAUACUGUUUUUCCCUAGAAAUUUCAAGUGUUUAUUAGAUUAUUUUGGGCGUGGGCAAGUUGAAGAGGAAGGAAAAUUUUUGCUCUAUCCUUAUUGGCAUGUAAGACCUAACUUUAUCUUUAGAUAUCACCUACUCUUUAGUUAUGUUUAAAUUUAAAUUUUAUAAUCUUGGAUCAAAGAGCAACUUAUGACACCAGUGCAAGUUGGCUUUAGAAUUUUGUCAGACUAUCAGUAAUAGUGGCAAAUGUAGUUAGACUUAGAUCUAGAAUGUGUUCAUGUAGAAUAGGAUAUACCCAUAAACACAUUAAACAUCAGCUAAAAUGGUUAAAAAAACCCCAACUAUAAAAAGUCAACUUUUUUGAUGAGUUAAUAGCUGGCGUGCUCUUUGAUAAGUUAUAGCUGCAUGGUUUAAGUAAACUUAGCUUUGUUGUAAAGAUACCUUAAAAAGUUUAUGUCAUUAAUAUUUUUGGUUAAAGCCACUUGAAUUUUAAAUUUUGUGCUGAGAGAACUUAAAAGUGAGUUGAUAAAAUACAUUAUCAAAUAGUUUAUGGGAUGGCUACUGCAUUUCAUACAUGCCAAAUUUGACUUUUAUAAGAUGGUAUUUGGUCUAAUAUCAUUUUAUAGGGUCAUUUUAUUGAACCUUUUCUUUUUGUACACUUUUGCAGAGGUUUUUGAAGAAGUCUUGGAGAUUGUUUCAUAUAUGACAUUCUUUUCUCCGGCUAUAUCCUUGGAAAUGUGGAGCCUUUGGCCUUUGAUGAUUGAAGCAUUAGCUGAUUGGGCAAUUGACUUCUUUCCAAGUAUGAUUUGAUUUGAAUUGAUAUUUCUUUUGCCUCAUAUCUGAAAGUUUUAUGAUUGUUAAGUAGACUUUUUAUCUUAGCAGUUUAAGCAUUUUCUGCUUAUUUAGUUGUUCGCUGAAAUUUGUCAUGAUCAACAUGACACUAUUUUUCUUUUUAGGAUAUUUGAAAAAUUUCCAUUUAUCCAAAAAGAAGUAGAUGUCUGCUACAAUGCAAAACUUGGGUAAAGCCUUACACAACUAUGCUAGUACCACACUGUAAACAAUUAAUUAUGAUACUAUUUACUCUUUGAAAGUCUGCGUCAAAUAUAACUGAUCAGAAACUUGUUUUUCAUGCAUGUUUGCCUAAGAUCCACAUUGCCAAAUAAAUUGUGAAUUUGUGUCAAAUUUGUUAAUAGAACUAACUGUGUUUAUUAACUUGUAUGUUAAAGCAUAUGUCUUACAAAUCCUAGAGAGUUUUAGUUCAUAAAUCAACCACUGAACUUUGGGAUCAGGUUGCCACUGCAAUAUAGACAUCCAGAAUUUUUUAUGAUAGAAUUUCGAUAGUUCAUUUAUGUUGGUUCUAGUAGGUCCAUAUGAUUACACAAGGUGAGAAGUUUAUACCCAUUUUUUGUUAUUUAAUUUCAAUUUAUCAUUAUUUGUUCUUAUUUCAUCUAUUUUUUUGUGUGUUUCUAAGUAAUAGCUGUUUUCAUGCAGAUAUUUUGGUUCCUUUGGACAACUACAUAUCCAGGGGAACUGCACAUUUUCUUACUUGCAAGGAACCUGACUACCAGCAGAGUCUUUGGAAUAUGAUUUCUUCUGUGAGUCGCAUUUUAGUUAUAAAAAUUGCCUUUUGAUGGGAAACUUUCUAGGAAGAUGAAAAUAAACCAUACAUUCUUCAGUCUUUUUAUCUUGCAAAUUUUUAUAAUACCUUUAUUUCAGUCCCUUUAGUUUAUAAAGCUCUGUUAUUUGCUUUGUCUUUGGCAGAUUAUGGCAGAUAAAAAUUUAGAGGACAAUGAUAUUGAACCAGCCCCAAAGCUGAUUGAAGUAGUGUUUCAAAACUGUAGAGGACAGGUGGAUCACUGGGUUGAGCCAUAUUUGAGAAUUACACUUGAUCGAUUGAAUCGAACGGAGAAACCACGGUUGAAAUGUCUUCUUGUACAAGUGGUAUGGCGUCAAGGCAUAGCUUUAUUCUUUUGCAUGAUGAUGUCAUAUUUUUAUAUGCUCAUCUCAUGUCUUGUAAAUGUUACACAUUUGAUAUUUUGCCUGUUGCUUUUCUUCUAUCAGAAAUACUCUUUUAUUCCUGGAAACAUUUUUGGCCUGUGAUUUAAUAACACGACACUGUUCUUCCUUACCCAGAUUGCCAAUGCAGUCUAUUACAACGCAGCCUUGACACUCAGCAUAUUAAACAAGUUUUCUGUUACAACAGAAGUGUUCAACCUUUGGUUCCAGUUGUUGCAACAAGUUAGAAAGAGUGGUUUACGGGCUAAUUUUAAGCGGUAGUUAGUUUUGUAUUUGCUUUGAUCAUUUUCCAUGUCACUAUGUUUAAGACUUGAGAAUAAUAUUGUUACUUUCACAAUGAACAUUCACACUUCGGGUAUUGUCUUGCUAUGACUCAAUAAGUUAUCUUGCUUCUGUAGGGAACAUGAUAAGAAAGUGUGCUGCUUGGGCCUUACAUCACUUCUUGCACUUCCCCGUGACCAGAUUGGCGGGGAGGCUCUUGGGCGUGUAUUCAGGGCUGCCCUUGAUCUCCUCGUUGCUUACAAGGAUCAAGUUGCAGGUCUCUCUCUCUCUCUCUCUCUAUGUAUAUAUAUGUAUAUUGGGGUGUGUGUCAAUGCGCUUAUACUAGCAUGUUGUGUGUCUGAAUUUGCAUUCUUUUUGAGAUUGUAUCCUUAAAUCCUUCUGUGUUAUUUAUUUAUUUACUUCAUUUGAGUGAGCAGAAGCUGCAAAGGAGGAAGAGGCUGAAGAUGAUGAUGAUAUGGAUGGUUUCCAGACUGAUGAUGACGAGGAUGAUGGUUCUGACAAGGAAAUGGGAGUCGAUGCGGAGGACGAAGAUGAAGCUGAUAGCAUGAGGCUUCAAAAAUUAGCUGCCCAGGUAUGCAUUAUUUUGGUCUUUGAAGGUUAUUUGAUACUUGGCUUGUCAUAAAUAUCACAAAUUGGUAAAUAAGAUGGGAAUGUCUAGCUACUGUAUGGAUAAAGAUGGAAGAUUCUCGAAUGCUGGUACCGAUGACUAGCAUGGCAAGGAGGGCUGGAAUGAUGAACUUUGGAAAUUAAUAAUAAUGCUUUGAUGGGACCUUUUUAACGAGCCUAUUAUAAUAUAUUUCCUUUUUGUAAUCGGUCCUUGGACUUUCCAAUCCUUUAUUUCACUCCAUCUUUGUUUUCUAUAGGCUAAAGCUUUCCGCACAAAUGAUGAUGAUGACGAGGAUGACUCUGAUGAUGACUUUAGUGACGAUGAAGAACUACAGUCACCAAUCGAUGAAGUUGACCCGUUUAUUUUCUUUGUCGAUAUUGUCAAGGGUAAAUGUCGAUUCUCCCUUUAAUAUUGUUUCUGUCUUCUGGUUUUGUUCGAUGUUUCCAUGUCAUUAGCUGAAACGAGGACUUUUUUCUUCCCUUCCCUGAUUUUGAAUCUAGCUAUGCAAGCUUCAGAUCCUAUGAGGUUGCAGAACCUUACACAGACUCUGGAUUUCCAUUAUCAAGCUCUUGCAAAUGGUGUAGCUCAACAUGCUGAACAGAGGAGAGCGGAGAUCGAAAAGGAACAAAUGGAGAAGGCAUCAGUCGCUGCCGCUCCACCAUCAUGAGUUCAGUUUCGAACUCGAUGUUCAUCCAUAAUUUUCAUUCAUUCAGAAAUGGUUAUUUUAUGAAACCAAGAUUUGUUUCCACUUGCAGUCCAUUCAAGUCAUUCAUUGGUUCAUACGGUCUUGAAGGUGAUCAAAACCCCAAAAAGGUCAAGGUUCAAAUCCAUGGAGAUUUUUUGUGUAUAAAGUACUCUUCAUCCGCAAAACACGGGGUUAGGGAACUCCGAGUUUGCCAGUUUUGGCUAGUCUGGUGAGUCCGGCCCAACUCAGCCAUCAGUUUCUGUUUUGCAUCUUUUCACGCUAUCCGUCAAAGUUAUCCCCAGUUAGUUGUUUCCGGAGUCGGAUCUUCUCCCGGGCAUGACUGGUCGAGGACCAUGCAUAUAGUCUCUCUAUAAUAUGCCAUGUUUAAUCAAAUGGCAAAGUUUUUGUGUUUUGCAUUGAUGAUUUUGGUGAAGAAAAUUUUGCCUUUUACCUCAUUUCCCUGUCAGAUAGUGUAUCAAUACCAGGGAAUUUUAUUUUUGUUUGGGAUUAAGAUUUUUGUUUUGUUUUUUGCCCUUUAGAGGGCUACUUUGGUUGCCAAUUUGUAAGAAUAUGAUUCUUUGAUGUUAUGGGAUUAAUGAAAAAGAAUAUAUUCGGAUUUUGAUUGUUUGCAUGUUGUAUUUGUGUUAUUUUUAGUUACUAACGACGCAAUCAAAUAGUAUUAGUAUUUUGGGAAAUUUAGUUCCUUGCAUGGGCACCAGAGAAUAAUUAUUGUCAUUUUGCUACCCACUAUUUUGGCAUGUUAAUGUUCAUUUUCUCUUUCAAGUGAUUAUAUACUUUAUAAUUAUAAUUUUGUAGAUAUAUUCAAUUAAACUGUACAUAUCAAUUCAACUGGGAACUUAUUUUUUGAUCUAUUAGUUUGGUUUUAAAAUCAUCGUCAUUCAGAUUAAAUUUGAGAUUGGUUUAAUAAUGAAUAAUUAUUUGAUACAAAGCUUUUAGAUUUCAUAAUAAUUAUGUAUAUAUGAAAUUUGACAAGUUUCUCAUUUGCUUAUAUAUCUAAUUUUUAUAUUUUCACAUUUUUACUCUUUUUGUAGAAUUUAAAAAAAGUAUUGAAUAAUUUUCUUUUAAAUAUUUUAAUAUAAAAACAUAAAUAACUAAAUGUAUUUAUAUUUAAAUGUUUUCUAUUUAUGAGAAAUGAGUUUCGGGGGCUAUUGUUAAUAGCUAUACGAUGGUGAUUAUUGACGGGAAUGAGUUCCCAUCCUGAAGAAGACAGAUAAGGAAAUUGUAUGAAAUUAUAUACAAGGUUGUGAUAUAAGAAAGAUAAAUGAAUUAAUCUUUCAGUUUUAUUUGGAACUGUAAUAAUUUUAGUUUAUCAAACGCUAUACCUAAUUUGAACGUGCAGCAAAAGAGAGAAAUAAUUUCAGAAAAAAGUUGUAUUUUCAAGUGAACUUAUAUAAAGAAACAAAGAGAAGCAUUCAACAACAACUUUAUUAUUGUAAGUACCAAUCAUACUCCCAAAUUACAAGAAAAUUUAAAAUCAACAAUCAAACACCAAUGCAAACCACACAAGUUUCAACUUCAGAUUAUUACAUGAUAUUUAUUUAAAAUUUUAAAAGUCGGAUAAACUAAAUUACAAUGACAACAACUAACAUCACAAGUAACAAGGUAAAGAUCAAACCUUGUGUUCCACUCUUGAGUUUUCCUACAAAUGAAGUGGUAGGUUUCAAGUAUGAUUACAUCUGAAUUGCUACAUGGGCCAUUCCGACCAAGACUGUAGAGAAUCGGGUGCUACACAAUCCCAGUGGACAAUAUAUUUGCACUCCGACUUUGAGCAUUCAAGAGCCACAUCUUUACAAGGCUUACCACAUUCAUCACAAUCAGGGUAGUAAUACUUCUUCUUCACAAUGGUGAGUGGGUGUGGAUGAUCUGUUUCAUCAUUGAAGCUCUCGAGUUUGAGGAAUGGAUAUUUUCCAAGAACACAAUUAACAUGAAUAGAAGUAUCACAUGUUGCACAAUGAUAAAAUCAACAAUUUGGAUCUCGACUUUUUUCACAGAUAUCACAAUGAUGACUUUUUGAAUAAUUGUUAUCAUCAUGAUUAGUGAGCGAAAAAAGACGCUCAUCGCAUUUGUAACCAGCUGUAUUUGAAAGUGAAAAACAAUCAACAUGUAGCCCAAAAUUGCAAUCCUUACAACGAAGUACUGCCUCUGGUUGACCACAAGCAUUGCAUUUCCCCUUGUGGCCUCUGUAGAAAAAGAGGGGGUGUUCAUGUUUCAAACAUGUUUGAGCACCAGGAGUAAGAGCAAUCACACAUCGGAGACAUAUUUUUUCCUCACAUCCACAACAUUCAUAAGCAAAGGCAUUAGAUAUGUUAUAACAGUGUUGACACUUAAAAGCUUUGUCAGAAAUAAGGGCGAGAGGCUCUUGGCAAUUAUGAUGCCAAACAUUCAUCAUCUUAGGUAAGUCGGCACACGCUUUGUGAAGAAAAAAACCACAUUCUGAACAGUAGUAAAAUGGAUCCGAGAUUGGCAACAUACAUCCCUUGCAAUUAUUUUCAUCUCCCCCAACAAAGGGACUUAACAUUAGAUUAUGCAUAUGCUUGAAAUGCUUUAUUUUUGUAGCUUCUCCAGCAUCGUUCCUCUCAAUAUCACUGAUGGAACUUUCAUUGGGUAUCUCAUCUUCAUUUUCUAGUGAAACUAUUGAAUAUGAGUGUUUAUCCUCUGUCAAACAAUGUACAUGGAAUGUAACAUUGCAAUGUGAACAACAAUAACUACCAUACUCUGGAUUGGCUUCAUCAUGACAAAUGGUGCAGUCUGAACUUCUAAAUUCAUCCGGAAGGAAAUAUUUGUGAAAAAGGAGAUGAUCAUGCCACCUGCUUUUGAUGAUACGUGGCAAUGUAGUGCACCUAUUAUGGACCAUAAUGCUGCAUGGAGAACAUAUAUAGGCAACGUAAAUUCCUUCCAGACCACACGCAUCACAAAUGUACGACACUCGUCUUGAAAAUAGAGUGAAUGUGUGUUGAUGGCGUUUGUCUUCAACAGCAAGAUCAAGUGGUGGUGGUAAACGUUCUAUGUGAAAUACAAGCUUACAAUAUGUACAACCAUAAGCAAAUCCUCUUCGGCUAGUUGCUUUGCAUAUCUUGCAAGAAAGUCUCGCAUUGUUAAAUUGUAAAACAAGAGGAUGUUGAGGAUGGUACAUAAAAUUCAAUUUGAGAGGAAGCUUAGCACAUUUCUCAUGUAAAUUAAAUCCACAAUCAAGAGAAAAAUGUGUAUAAUUUACUAAUGGUUCCCAACACCCAAAGCACAUAUAGCAACAUAAUCACCAUUUUCAGUGGAAAUCAAUGGAUCUUGAAGGGCAACAUGCUCAAGCUCUUUCAAAUUAUUCUCAGCCAUAUUAAGUGUAAAUAAAGCACAUUUAAUAUGCAAGUCAAAAUCGCAAGAGCAGUGAUAAACGAAUUUCAUACAUAUUUCAUAGCAGAAAUUGCAAAUAACGGGAUAUGGUGGCGCUUGCAUAAGAAGAAGAGUAUGGUCGAGGUGAAAAGGGUGAUUAAGCUCCAAAGGUGCCUCAGCACAUACCUUGUGAAGGUAAAACCCACAAUCCUGGGCACAGCUAAAACAUGGAGUUGACACCUUCUCUCCACAACUUGAGCAGUUAGCUACAAUCCGCUGAUCUUCAUUCAAAAGAAGAAGCAAGGGAUGUCGGUGACCAUAGUUCUGUGACUCCAUUUCUCCUUCCUCUUUGGCUUUUUCCGUCGACGUAGGAAGAACAAAAAAACAGAAAGUGAACGUUGGAAGUAAAGUAGAGAUUUGAAAGAGAGAGACUCCAAAACUAUCUUAGUAUAUUGCUUUUAAUCUGUCUUUGCUUUCAUACUUUACUUCAUUAGUUGGUUUCCUUAUAUUUCUUAACUCUUGUUUUUUAAAAAAUAUUUUCUUAAUAAUAAAGUUAAAGAUUAGUAAACAAGAAGACAAACCUUUAUUCUAAAAUUAUAAGGGUAUUUUAAAUAAUAUUACAAAGUAUAGUUCUGUUUAUACAUAAAAAAAUAUUACAAAGUAUUUUAAAUAAUAGAACUAUUUUGGAACGACUUCAAAUUGCAUGGGAAGCUUGUUAUAGACAUUUGGAACUAGAAUGUAACAAAGUAAUAAUAGUUAAACCAAUUUUGGUGGGAGAGGUUGCUGUUAGUAAGAUGACAGAGUUGCAAUUGAUUAUUCAUCUCUUAAAACAUAAUUACAGUGUACAAAUUUGACAUAUUCCUAGACACCAAAAUAAAGUUACUGACCACAUAGUUAAACUAGCGAGUCAUAAUCUUAAUAGUUUGUAGAGGUUUUAAAAACCCUCAGACUCAACUCUAAUGUUGCUGCAUGAAGAUUUGAAUACAUCAUCUCUUACUGUUAAUCAGGAAUUUCAUUGGUUUGUAAUUGUCAUUGGUUGACUGUCCUUUAUACAAAAAAAAAAUACAUUAUUUAGAUACAUGCAUUGUGAUUAUUUGACUUCCCAUUUUCAUAUAUAUAUAUAUUUAUAUAUAUUUAUAAUUCAAUCUUAAUUUAUAAUAGCUAAGAAUGGGACGUAUUGUAGGUUAAUUAUUAAAUUUGAGAAGAAUGGAAAAACUAAAGGAAGAAUAUAAAAAUUUCACUUUAUCCCUUGCUUUGUGGAUUAGUAAUGAAUGUUGAUAUCCAGUCUUUUUGUUAUUGUUGUGUGCCAAGAAACUACAUCUCACAAAUUUAAAUCUCUCUUGCUUAAUAUUGAUUUUUAAUUUUAUGUGUUUCACAAAAAAAAAAAAGAGAGUAUAAAACAUAUUUUGAAGUUUAUAAAUCGAGGUUUAAAUAUUUUAUUUGUAUUUUUUUUUUGACAAAUUUAACGAUCAAAUUCUCUUUAUAGUUUUCUUUCUACAAUUAUAACCACUACCAUUGCUCUUACCUUUCUCAGUUUCAUAUGUCUAUCUUGUUUUUCAAAGUCUGUUUUGAUUUUUUUUUUUAUUGUCAUCUCUUUGUGAUAUCUCAGUUUGUUAAAUUGUAACGUAUUCUCAUCUUACUAAAAUAGUUCUUUACAUUUUUAAUAUAUAAAAAGUUUAAUUUUUUAUUUCUAGUAUGAAUUCUAACAUUAAAAUAAAUUAUAAUUUUUAAUAUAUAAAAAGUUUAAUUUUUUAUUUCUAGUAUGAAUUCUAACAUUAAAAUAAAUUAUAAUUGAAAUCUUAAUUAAUUUCCGAGUUUUUAACUUUUUAAAUUGACAUAUGUAUAUUUAUAUAAUUUUAAAUUACACCAAAGUUUCAAAUCUUUAAAUCAAAGAAUAUCGUGACUUUAAAUGCCUUUAAAAUUUAUUGCAAUUGUGUCAAUUAAAAUUGUUUUCAGAAUUAAAUUGGUUGGAUCAGAAUCAAUUAAGGCACUGGUUUCAAAUAAGGAGUUGAAUAAUUUAAAUUGGGCUACUGGAGCAGUUGAACCUCUUGCAUCGAUUUUUAUUUUAUUUUCAAAGAAAUAUAUUUUUUUAUUUUUUAAUAAUUUAUUUAAUUAAACCGGACAAAUUGAUCAAACUGGGAAUUGAUUUUCUGAUUGAUUUGAACUAUUAAUUUGGUUUUAAAAUCUUUGUUAUUCAUAUUAAAUUCGAAAUUGGUUUAAUUAUGAACAAUUAUUUAAUACAAAGUUUUUAGACUUCGUAAUUAUGUUUGAAAUUUGACAAGUUUCUCAUUGAUUAUAUAUUUAAUUUUUAUAUUUUCACACCUUUAAUCUAUUUGUAGAAUUUUAAAAAAUUUACGGGAUAAUUUUCUUUUAAAUAUUUUAAUAUCAAAACAUAAAUAACUAAAUGUAUUUAUAUUUACAUGUUUUCUAUUCAUGAGAAUGAGUUUUGACGGCUAUUCUCAACAGCCAUACGGUGGUAGUUAUCGAUCAGAAUGAGUUCUGUUUCCAUCCUAGAGAAGACGAGUAAGGAAAUUACAUACAAGGUUGUGAUAUAAGAGAGAUAAAUAAACUAAUCCUCCAAUUUUAUUUGAAACGAUACUAAUUUCAGUUUAUCAAAUGCUAAACCCAAUUUCAAUGUGCAGUAAAAGAGAGAAAUAAUUUCAGAAAAAGUUGUAGUUUCAUGUAAACUUUUAUACAAAAACAAAGAGAAGCAUCCAACAACACCUUUAUUAUUGUAAGUACAAUCACACUCCCAAAUUACAAUAAAUUUUAAAAUUAACAAUCAAACACCAAUGCAAACAUCACAAUAGUUUCAAAUUAUUACAAUGACAUUUAUUUAAAACUUAAAAAGUCAGAAAAAUCAAAUUACAAUGACAACAACUACUAACAUCACAAGUGACAAGGCAAAGAUCAAACCCUAUUUUCCACUCUCAAGUUUUCUGGCAAAUGAAAUGGCUGGUUUCAAAGAUGAUUAGAUCUAAAUUGCUACAUGCCCCACCACAAGGAACACUGUAGAGAAUAGGGUGCUACACAAUUCCAAUGGACAAUAUAUUUGCACUCCGACUUUGAGCAUUCAAGAGCCACACCUUCACAAGGCUUACUGCAUUUAUCAUAAUCAGGGUAGUAAUACUUCUUCACAAUGGUGAGUGGGUGUGGAUGACCUGUUUCUUUAUAGAUGCUCCCGAGUUUGAGGAAUGGAUAUUUUCCAAGAACACAAUCAACAUGAGCAGAAGUAUCGCAUAUUGCACAAUGAUAAAACCAACGAUUUGUAUCUUGACUUUUUUCACAGAUAUCACAAUGAUGACUUUUUGAAUAACUGUUAUCAUCAUGAUCAAUGAGUGAAAGAAGAUGUUCGUCACAAAUGUGACGAGCUGUAAUUGGAAGUGAAAAACAUCCACGAUGUAGCACAAAAUUGCAAUCCUUACAACGAAAUGCCUCAUCUCCACUUGUAUAACCACAAGCAUUGCAUUUCCCAUUGCGCUUUAUGUAGUAAAAGAGGGGGUGUUCAGGUUUCAAACAUGUUCGAGAACCAGGAGUAAGAGCAAUCACACAUCGGAGACAUAUUUUUCGCUUACAUCCACAACAUUCAUAAGCAAAGGCAUUAGAUAUGUCUCAACAUUCUGCACACUUAAAAACCUUGUCUGAAAUAAGGGUGAGAGGCUUUUGGCAAUAAUGAUGCCAAACAUUCUUCAUCCUAGGUAACUCGGCACAUGCUUUAUGAAGAAAAAAAAUCUCAUUCUGAACAGUAGUAAAAUGGAUCCGAGAUUGGCAACAUACACCCAUCGCAACUAUUUUCAUAUCCUCCAACAAAGGGACCUAACAUUAGAUUAUGCUUAUGCUUGAAAUGCUUUAUUUUUGUAGCUUCUCCAGCAUCGUUCCUCUCAAUAACACUGAUGGAACUUUCAUUGGGCAUCUCAUCUUCAUUUUCUAGUGAAACUAUUGAAUAUGAAUAUUUAUCCUUCAAUGCACACUUCACAUGGAAUAUAACAUUGCACUUUGAACAAUCGUAACUACCAUGCUCUGUAUUGACUUCAUCAUGGCAUAUCAUGCAAUCCAAAACCCUAAAAUCUUCUAUGUCAUGGAAAAAUGUAUGAAGAAGGCGAUGGUCAUGCCACUUACUUUUGAUAAUGCGAGGCAAUGAACUGCAAUUUUAAUGGAUUAUAAUGUUGCAUGUACCACAUGUAUAGGCAACAUGAUUUCCUUCAGUGCCACACGCAUCACAAGUGAAUGGAACUUGUCUCAAAAAUAAAGUGAAUGGAUGUUUAUGAUUUGUACUCUCAAUAACUUGUAAUAGUGAUUGUGAUCCACAAUCAAUGUGAACAACAAAGUUACAAGGACAACAACCAUAAACAAAUCCACUUCCCCUUGUUGUCCUUGUUACUUGGCAUAUCUUGCAAGAGAGCCGUUGGCUAUUAAAUUGUAGAACAAGAGGAUGCUUGCGAUGGCACGCAUGAUUCAGUUUGAAAGGAAGCUCAGCGCAUUUUUCAUGUAAAUUAAAUCCACAGUCAGGAGAAAAGUGUGUAUAAUUUGCUAAUGAAUCCCAACACCCAAAGCACUUACCAAGAUAAUCACCAUAUUCAGUGGAAAUCGAAGGAAGUAGAAGGGCAACAUGCUCAAGCUCUUUCAAAUUAUUCUCAGCAAUAUUAAAUGUAAACAAAGCACAUUUAAUAUGAAAGUCCAAUCCGCAAGAGCAAUGAUAAACAAACUUAUCAUCCUCUUUAUCACAAAAAUCACAAAUGUACUCUCCAGAUGAAUAAGGUGCAUUUUGCAUAAGAAGAAGAGGAUGGUCGAGAUGAAAAGGGUGAUUAAGUUCCAAAGGAGCCUCAGCACAUACCUUGUGAAGGUAAAAACCACAAUCCUGGGCACAGCUAAAACAUGGAGUUGACACCUUCUCUCCACACCUUGAGCAGUUAGCUACUAUCCGCUGAUCUUCAUUCAAAAGAAGAAGCAAGGGAUGUCGGUGACCAUAGUUCUGUGACUCCAUCUCUCCUUCCUCUUUGGCUUUUUCCGUCGACGUAGGAAGAACAAAAAAACAGAAACUGAAUGUUGGAAGUAAAGUAGAAAUUUGAAAGAGAGAGAGACUCCAAAACUAUCUUAGUAUAUUGCUUUUAAUCUGUCUUUGCUUUCAUACUUUACUUGAGUUGGUUUCUUUUAUUUCUUUAUAAUUCUGAACUUUUGUUUUCUAAAAAAAUAUUUUCUUAAUAAUAAAGUUAAAGUUAAGUAUAUGACAAACCUUUAUUCUGAAAUUACGAGGGUAUUUUAAAUAAUAUUACAAGUAUUUUUCUGUUUAUAUAUAAAAUAUACAUUAUUUAUUACAUCGCUUUUGUCACAUAUAUUGAUGCAUGCAUUGCGGUUAUUUGGCUUCCCCUUCUUCAUAUAUAUAUAUAUAUAUAUAUAUAUAUAUUUGUUCAUGACUGUAAAUAGCAUAGGUUUAGAGUGAAAGAGGAAUUAUAAUAAAAGAAAACAACUAAAAAAUGUAACACAAAAUCACAUAAUUUUAUACCUUACACUCAAUCUUUAUAAAAGAUAUCUCAGUAAUUUUAAAGCAUGAUUGGAACAUUUUAAAAUAAAAUAUCACACCCACAACCAAAGCAUGACAAACUAAAGGAAUAAUAUAAAAUUUUCACUUUAUUCUUUGCUUGGUGGAUUUGACAAUGAAUAUUGAUAUCCAAUCUUUUUGAUAUUGUUGUGUGCCAAGAAACUACAUCUCACAAAUUUAAAUCUCUCAUAUUAAAUAGUGUGGUUGCUUAAUAUUUAUUUUUAAUUUUAUGUGUUUCACAAAAAGAAAAGUAUAAAACAUAUUUUAUCUUGUAUGAAACAAAUUAAAAAGAUAUUCAAACAUCUGGGUAAGAUUUUCUGACAAUUCUUUGACGAAAUUUGAUAAUUAAAGUAAAACAAAUAUUUGAAAAAGAAAAACCCUAAAUCUAUCUUUAGUAUAUUUCUUUUAACAAGUUUCUUUAGACUAUUUUGAAACUUUGCUCAAGUGAAUGAGUUUCUUAUAAAUGUUUUUAUAAUUCAAGGAGGCUUGAUACUUUGCUUGAGAGAGUGCAUUUUUCAAAGACUUUUUUUCUAUCAAUACAAUAUUAGAAGAUGGAGAAGGGGAUUACAGAAUUUAAAUUAGGUGUCUUUUCUCCGACUAUAUCCUUGGAAAUGUGGAGCCUUUGGCCUUUGAUGAUUGAAGCAUUAGCUGAUUGGCCAAUUCACUUCCUUCCGAGUAUGAUUUGAUUUGAAUUUGAUAUUUCUUUUGCUCAUAUCUGAAUGUUUUGGGAUUUGUUAAGUAGACUUUUAAUCUUAGCAGUUUAAGCAUUUUCUGCUUAUUAUUAUCAACAUAAGCUACGUAGUGACACUAUUUUAAGAAGUAGAUGUCUGCUACAAUGCAAAACUUGGGUAAAGCCUUACAAUCAACUAUGCUAGUACCACACUGUAAACAAUUCAUAGUGAUACUAUUCACUCUUUGAAAAUCUGUGUCAAAUAUAACUGAUCAGAAACUUGUGUUUUAUGCAUGUUUAUAAUACAUUUAUGUCAGUGCCUUUGGUUUAUAAAGCUCUGUUAUUUGCUUUGUCUUUGGCAGAUUAUGGCAGAUAAAAAUUUAGAGGACAAUGAUAUUGAACCAGCCCCAAAGCUGAUUGAAGCAGUGUUUCAAAACAGUAGAGGACAGGUGGAUCACUGGGUUGAGCCGUAUUUGAGAAUCACACUUGAUCGAUUGAAUCGAACGGAGAAACCACGGUUGAAAUGUCAUCUUGUACAAGGGGUAUGGUGUCUGUUGAGCAUUGGCCUGCAAUGCAACAUGUGACCAGCAGCUACUUCAAGCAGACCAGCAAUGUAGCAGAACCGAGAGCAGCAACAGCUUGGUGCAUUUUGUUUUCUCUUUUGUUCAAAUGUAAUUUGCCUAGUUAGUUUGUAACUUGAAACUAAAGCCUGUAGGAUUAGUUUUUUAUUUGUACUUGAUGUAAUGGCUGAUGUAUCAGCUAGCUUUGAUUUGAAUUUCAAUCUUGUAUUAGUUAAGUAUAGGUGGGAGCAGUUACAUUGUUAGGUAACUGUCAAAUUCACUUUGUAACUUACAUAUAAUUUGAUAUUAUCAAUGAAAAUGUAUGUUUUUCAGCUCAAUCUUCUUGUUGUUCAAUUUUCUUUCUCUUUUCAAACUUUUGCUUCGUUUUCUUACUGUCAUUUUUAGCAAACUUAGUUCGUUUUGUGAUUUGUUGCUGCCUUUGUUUCAACAGUGUCGAGGCAUAGCUUUAUUCUUUUGCAAGAUGAUGUCAUAUUUUUAUAUGCUCAUCUCAUGUCUUGUAAAUGUUACACAUUUGAUAUUUUGCCUGUUGCUUUUCUUCUAUCAGAAAUACUCUUUUAUUCCUGGAAAGUGAUUUAAUAACACGACACUGUUCUUCCUUACCCAGAUUGCUAAUGCAGUCUAUUACAAUGCAGCCUUGACACUCAGCAUAUUAAACAAGUUCUCUGUUACAACUGAAGUGUUCAACCUUUGGCUCCAGUUGUUGCAACAUGUUAGAAAGAGUGGUUUACGAGCGAAUUUUAAGCGGUGGGUGGUUUUGUAUUUGCUUUGAUCAUUUUCCAUGUCACUCUGUUUAAGCCUUGGGUAUAAUAUUGUUACUUUUACAAUGAAUUUUCAUACUUCGGCUAUUGUCUUGCUAUGACUCAAUAAGUUAUCUGGCUUCUACAGGGAACAUUAUAAGAAAGUGUGCUUGUACGAGUUAAGAAACAGAUUAGGAUAUCACAGCAGAGUCUUGAGCUAGAAGCUUCAAUGACUUGAUAUGCAACCAAGAAAAUCGGGCUUGAGAAAUCAAGAACAAAUUUCUUGACAAGAACCAAAACAAGAAAGAAUGCUGAAAGAUUCAUCUCUUGAUUGCUGAAACAUUUCAUUACAUAUAAACAAGUAAUUAACUCGUCUGAAAAAUCAAAAGGUUGUCACCUAAACACACCUAACUCCACUAACAUGUCUCGAAACUCAUAAAACAUUACUUGCACACAUGGUUAAGCUGAUUUAUCAAAUCCGUCAGCACCAAAUACAUUAGUUCAAAUGUAACUAAGUAGAAAAACAUUAGAGAAAUACAAAACAGCAGUGUAUUGUUCAGCUGCAACUUGCAUGGCUCGUUCAAAACACUGCAUGAAAGCCACUUCUUAACAGUGCUGCUUGUGCCUUACAUCACUUCUUGCACUUCUCGGUGACCAGAUUGGCGGGGAGGCUCUUGGGCGUGUAUUUAGGGCUGCCCUUCAUCUCCUAGUUGCUUACAAGGAUCAAGUUGCAGGUCUCUCUCUCUCUCUAUAUAUAUAUAUAUGGGUGUCUGUGUGUGUGUGUCAAUGCGCUUAUACUAGCAUGCUGUGUGUCUGAAUUUUGAAUCUUUUUUAGAUUGAAUCCUUAAAUCCUUCCGUGUUAUUUAUUUUUUACUUCAUUUGAGUGAGCAGAAGCUGCAAAGGAGUAAAAGGUUGAAGAUGAUGAUGAUAUGGAUGGUUUCCAGACUGAUGAUGACGAUGAUGUAUUGAAGUUGGCAUGCAUGCAGCAGAUAAAGCAACCAGGGAGCAGACAAUGCAACAUAAGUUAUGCGGAUGAAGUAUGAAGAACAAGCUGCUGUAGUAUUUCCGGAUGAAGUGCAUGCAGUUAUUGAAGUUGAUGCUAUUGUUCAGUUUCAGUUUCAUUUUGUUACUUUAAGUAAUAUUCUGUAACUUAGUUAAUUGUGCAAGUUGAUCUGCAAGUUGCAAUGUGUAAGGAGUGCAAUUAAGUCUAAAAAUAGUAAAUAUGUCAAAGCUGACCAGCUUAUGACUGGUUUAUGUAUUGGCAGUAUGCCAUCUUUUUAAUCAAUGAAUUUCAAUAGAAAUCAUUCAGAAAAAAUACUUUCUCAAUUUUUUCUUUCAUAAUUCAAACCAGAUUCUGCUCUAUUGCUUAAAAACCUUCAUACUUAUUGUCAAAGUUUUGUCGUUCUUCAUCCUGAUACAGUACUUUGUUGUUUAAAUCCAGACUGAAGUUUAUACUUCAUCCGGACAAAAUGUGUCAAAAAUCCAACAUGAUGAUGGUUCUGAUGGGAGUCGACGCGGAGGACGAAGGUGCAGCUGAUAGCAUGAGGCUUCAAAAAUUAGCUGCCCAGGCAUGCAUUAUUUUGGUCUUUGAAGGUUAUUUGAUACUUGGCUCGUCAUAAAUAUCACAAACUGGUAAAUAAGAUGGGAAUGUCUAGCUACUAUAUGGAUAAAGAUGGAAGAUUCUCGAAUGUUGGUACCGAUGACUAGCAUGGCAAGGAGGGCUGGAAUGAUGAACUUUGGAAAUUAAUAGUAAUGCUUCGAUGGGACCUUUUUAACGAGCCUAUUAUAAUAUAUUUCCUUUUUGUAAUUGGUCCUUUGACUUUCCAAUCCUUUAUUUCACUCCAUCUUUGUUUUCUAUAGGCGAAAGCUUUCCGCACAAAUAACGAUGAUGACGAGGAUGACUCUGAUGAUGACUUUAGUGACGAUGAAGAAAUACAGUCACCAAUUGAUGUCGAUAUUGUUUGCAGUCCAUUCAAGUCAUUCAUUGGUUCAUACGGUUUUGAAGGUGAUCAAAACCCCAAAAAGGUCAAGUUCCAAAUCCAUGGAGAUUUUUUGUGUAUAAAGUACUCUUCAUCCGCAAAACACAGGGUUAGGGAACUCCGAGUUUGCCAGUUUUGGCUAGUCUGGUGAGUCCGUCCCAACUCAUCCAUCAGUUUCUGUUUUGCAUCUUUUCACACUAUCCGUCAAAGUUAUUCCCAAUUAGUUGUUUCCGGGUCGGAUCUUCUCCCGGGGAUGACUGGUCUGGGGCCAUGCAUACAGUCUAUAGUAUGCCAUGUUUAAUCAAAUGGCAAAAUUUUUGUGUUUUGCAUUGAUGAUUUUGGUGAAGAAAAUUUUGCCUUUUACCUCAUUUCCCUGCCAGGUAUAGUGUAUCAAUACCAGGGAAUUUUAUUUUUGUUUGGGAUUAAGAUUUAUGUUUUGUUUUUUUGCCCUUUAGAGGGCUACUUUGGUUGCCAAUUUGUAAGAAUAUGAUUCUUUUAUGUUAUGGGAUUAAUGAAAAAGAAUAUAUUCGGAUUUUGAUUGUUUGCAUGUAUUUGUGUUAUUUUUAGUUACUACCGACGCAAUCAAUAGUAUUAGUAUUUUGGGAAAUAUAGUUCAUUGCAUGGGCACCUUUGAGAAUAAUUAUUGUCAAUUUUAAUGCCCACUAUUUUGGCAUGUUUAUGUUCAUUUUCUCUUUCAAGUAAUUAUGUACUUUGUAAUUAUACUUUUGUGGGCCAAUAUUUUUUUUUAGUUUUUGAUAAUUUAUUCAAUUAAACUGGACAAAUCAAUCCAAUCGGGAACUUAUUCUUUGAUCUAUCGGUUUAGUUUUAAAAUCUUUGUUAUUCAGAUUAAAUUCGCGAUUGGUUUAAUAAUGAAUAAUUAUUUGAUACGAAACUUUUAGAUUUCAUAAUAAUUAUGUUUGAAAUUUGACAAGUUUCUCAUUUGCUUAUAUAUCUAAUUUUUAUAUUUUCAAAUCUUUACUCUACUCUAUUUGUUGAAUUUAAAAAAUUUACAUGAUAAUUUUCUUUUAAAUAUUUUAAUAUAAAAACAUAAUAUCUAAAUGUAUUUAUAUUUAAAUGUUUUCUAUUCAUGAGAAUGAGUUCCGGCAGCUAUUCUUAAUAGCUAUACGAUGGUAGUUAUCGAUGAGAAUGAGUUCCCAUCCCGAAGAAGAUGAGUAAGGAAACUACAUACAAGGUUGUGAUAUAAGAGAGAUAAAUGAACUAAUCCUUCAACUUUAUUUGGAACUGUAAUAAUUUUAGUUUAUUAAACGCUAAACCUAAUUUGAAUGUGCAACAAAAGAGAGAAAUAAUUUUAGAAAAAAAGUUCUAUUUUCAAGUAAGCUUAUAUAAAGAAACAAAGAGAAGCAUUCAACAAUAGCUUUAUUAUUGUAAGUACAAUCACACUCCCAAAUUACAAGAAAAGCUAAAAUCAACAAUCAAACACCAAUGCAAACCACACAAGUUUCAACUCCAGAUUAUUACAUAAUAUUUAUUUAAAAUUUAAAAAGUCAGAUAAACCAAAUUAUAAUGAAAACUAAAAUCACAAGUAAUAAGGUAAAGAUCAAACCUUGUGUUCCACUCUUGAGUUUUUCUGCAAAUGAAGUGGUAAGUUUCAAAUAUGAUUACAUCUGAAUUACUACAUGGGCCAUUCCGACCAAGACUGUAGAGAAUCGGGUGCUACACAAUCCCAGUGGACAAUAUAUUUACACUCCGACUUUGAGCAUUCAAGAGCCACAUCUUCACAAGGCUCACCACAUUCAUCACAACCAGGGUAGUAAUACUUCUUCUUCACAAUGGUAAGUGGGUGUGGAUGAUCUGUUUCUUCAUAGAUGCUCCCAAGUUUGAGGUAUGGAUAACUUCCAAGAACACAACCAACAUGAGCAGAAGUAUCACAUGUUGCACAAUGAUAAAACCAAUGAUUUGGAUCUCGACUUUUUUCACAGAUAUCACAAUGAUAACUUUUUGAAUAACUGUUAUCAUCAUGAUCAGUGAGUGAAAGAAGAUGCUCAUCGCAUUUGUGACGAGCUGUAAUUGGAAGUGAAAAACAUUCAAGAUGUAGUACAAAAUUGCAAUCCUUACAACAAAAUGCCCCAUAUCCACUUGUUGUAUAACCACAAGCAUUGCACUGGCCUUUGUAGUCUCUGUAUAAAAAGAGGGGGUGUUCAUGUCUCAAACAUGUUCGAGCACCAGGAGUAAGAGCAAUCACACAUCGGAGACAUAUUUUUCCCUCACAUCCACAACAUUCAUAAGCAAAGGCAGUAGAUAUGUUAUUACAGUAUUGACACUCAAAAGUUUUGUCAGAAAUAAGGACGAGAGGCUCUUGGUUAGAAUGAUGCCAAACAUUCAUCAUCUUUGGUAACUCGGCACACGCUUUAUGAAGAAAAAAAACACAUUUUGAACAGUAGUAAAAUGGAUCCGAGAUUGGCAACAUACACCCAUCGCAACUAUUUUCAUAUCCUCCAACAAAAGGACUUAACAUUAGAUUAUGCAUAUGCUUGAAAUGCUUUUUUUUUGUAGCUUCUCCGGCAUCGUUCCUCUCAAUAACACUGAUGGAACUUUCAUUGGGCAUCUCAUCUUCAUUCUCUAGUGAAACUAUUGAAUAUGAGCUUUUAUCCUCUGUCACACAAUGCACAUGGAAUGUAACAUUGCAUUGUGAACAACAAUAACUACCAUACUCUGGAUUGGCUUCAUCAUGACAAAUGAUGCAAUCUAAACUUCUAAAUUCAUCCGAAAGGAAAUAUUUGUGAAAAAUGUGAUGAUCAUGCCAACUGCUUUUGAUGAUACGCGACAAUGUAGUGCACCUUCUAUGGACCAUAAUUCUGCAUGUAGAACAUAUAUAGGCAACGUAAAUUCCUUCAAGACUGCACGCAUCACAAAAGUACGGCACUCGUCUCAGAAGUGGAAUGAAUGUGUGUUGAUGGCUUUUGUCUUCAGCAGCAAGAUCAAGUGGUGGUGGUAAACAUAUUGUGUGAAAUACAAGCUUACAAUAUGUACAACCAUAAACAAAUCCUCUUUGGGUACUUGCUUUGCAUAUCUUGCAAGAAAGUCUCUCAUUGUUAAAUUGUAAAACAAGAGAGUGUUGGCAAUGGUACGUAGAAUUCAAUUUGAGAGGAAGCUUAGCACAUUUCUCAUGUAAAUUAAAUCCACAAUCAGGAGAAAAAUGUUUAUAAUUUGCUAAUGGUUCCCAACACAGAAAGCACACUGCAACAUAAUCACCGAUUUCAGUGGAAAUAAAUGGAUCUUGAAGGGCAACAUGCUCAAGCUCUUUCAAAUUAUUCUCAGCGAUAUUAAGCGUUAAUAAAGCACAUUUAAUAUGAAAGUCCAAAUUGCAAGAGCAGUGAUAAGCAAAUUUCUCACAUCUUUCAUUACAGAAAUCGCAAAACACGAAAGAAUGUUGUGACCUUUGCAUAAGAAGAAGAGGCUGAUGGGGAUGAAAAGGAUGAUUAAGCUCCAAAGGUGCCUUAGCACAUACCUUGUGAAGGUAAAACCCACAAUCCUCGGCACAGCUAAAACAUGGGGUUGACACCUUUGUUGAAAAAUCAAAUAAGGUAAGUGUUGAAAAGUCAAAAAUGGUUUGAGGUGCAAUUGGCACCGAAAGAAAAAAAUAGUUGGCAAGUUGUUUAAAGUUGAAAGGGAUAAUUGCAAUUUUGGUCCCUAAUUUUUUAGGCCAUUUGCAAGUUAGUCCCUAAACCUCAACUAUAAAUAGGCCUAACCAUUUCUCAUUUCAACCAUCCCAACCAAUCUUUCUAUCUUAGUUUUCUCUCUUCUCCCAUUUGAGAAUUCUUAAGGAAUUCUAUUUGUUUGUAAUAUUUUACAGAUAGUAAAGUUAUCAUCUGGUGUUAGUGCCUGAGGACGUAGGUAUAAUUUACCGAACCUCGUUAAAACUCUUGUGUUUUUUCUUGUCCUAUUUUUCUUUCAAUAUUUGAGGGUAUAAUAGUAGUAUUUAAUUGUGCUAUUAAAUUACUAUAGAAGGGAUAUUCUGACUAAGGAAAGACUUGGUAUUUAAGAGAUCCUUGUGAUCUACCUCUCUUCCCUGGGAAUUGAACUUUGUGUGAUUUUUUAGUACAAUAAUUUACACGCUUCCGACCCUAUUGGAAUAACAAGUGGUAUCAAGAGCCGAAGGUUAAUCGUAGUAUGCUCUGUGGUUGCAGUUUAAACUGAUCUUCCACAUCAGAAAAGAUUUCCUUAGGUAUAUUGAAAGAUUAUGGAGAAAACGGUCGGUGUAGGAGCUUCAACAUCGUCCAUGUGGACAAGACCGACAAUUGCAAAUGCAAGAUUGGCCGUGGAGAUCUUUGAUGGCACGGGCCAUUUUGGUAUGUGGAAAAGUAAGGUUCUAGAUGCCCUUUUUCAGCAGGGUCUAGACAUUGCCAUUGAUGAAGAGAAACCAGAUGAUGUACAGGAGAAAGAUUAGAAGGCGAUCAAUCGGUUGGCAUGUGGCACAAUUCGAUCAUGCCUUUCUUGAGAGCAGAGGUAUGCUUUUUCAAAGGAGACUUCUGCAAAUAAGUUGUGGGUGGCACUUGAAGAAAUUUUUUUGAAGAAAAACAGUCAAAAUAAGCUCCACUUGAAGAAAAGACUGUUUCGCUUCACUUACGUCCCAAGUACCACAAUGAAUAAUCACAUCACCAAAUUUAAUCAGUUAGUCACUGAUUUGUUAAAUAUGGAUGAGACAUUCAAAGAUGAAGAUUUGGCUUUGAUGCUGUUGGGGUCACUUCCUGAGGAGUUUGAGUUCCUAGAAACUACUCUACUUCAUGGCAGGAGUGAUAUAUCUCUGAGCGAAGUCUGUGCGGCCUUAUAUAGUUAUGAACAGAGAAAGAAGGACAAACAGAAAUACUCAAUCAGAGAUACAGAAGCUUUAGUAGUCCGAGGUCGUUCAUACACUCAGAAGAAAACUUAGAAAGGGAGAUCAAAGUCAAAGUCCAGACUCGGGAAAGAUGAAUGUGCCUUUUGUCAUGAGAAAGGCUACUGGAAGAAAAAUUGUCCAAAGCUGAAGAAUAAGGGAAAAGCUACUGUAGAUGCUUGUGUUGCAAAGCAUGAUACCAGUGACUCUGAACUAUCACUGGUUGCAUCAUCAUCGUCGUUCCAUUCAGAUGAGUGGAUAUUGGAUUCGGGUUGUACCUAUCAUAUGUCCCCUAACCGGGAGUGGUUCUCUGAUUUAGUAGAACUAAAUGGAGGAGUUGUUUAUAUGGGCAAUGACAAUGCCUGUAAAACUGUUGGGAUAGGUUCAAUCCAAUUAAAGAAUAAAGAUGGAUCAACCAGAGUUCUGACUGAUGUUCGGUACGUGCCCAGUUUGAAGAAAAAUCUCAUCUCAUUGGGAGCCUUGGAAUCCAAUGGUUCAGUUGUUACUAUGAGAGAUGGGAUUUUGAAAGUGACAUCUGGCGCACUUGUGAUAUUGAAGGGCAUCAGAAAAAAUAACUUGUAUUACUACCAAGGUAGUACAGUUAUUGGAGCAGUCGCUGCAGCUUCCAGUAACAAAGAAUUGGACUCAAUGCAGUUGUGGCAUAUGAAGUUGGGACAUGCCAGCGAAAAAUCCUUGUAAAUUCUGGCAAAGCAAGGAUUAUUGAAAGGUGCAAAGGCUUGCAAAUUAAAAUUUUGCGAGCAUUGUGUUCUGGGAAAGAAAAAGAGAGUGAAAUUCAGCACUGCUAUCCAUAAUACAAAAGGUAUUUUGGAAUAUGUUCACUCAGAUGUGUGGGGGCCUUCCAAAACACCUUCGUUGGGAGGAAAACACUACUUUGUUACUUUUGUUGAUGACUUUUCCAGAAGAGUUUGGGUGUAUACCAUGAAAACUAAGGAUGAAGUGCUUGGAGUUUUUCUUAAAUGGAAAACUAUGAUCGAAAACCAGACUGGCAAGAAAAUCAAGCGGCUUAGGACGGACAAUGGAGGGGAAUAUAGAAGUGAUCCGUUCUUCGAUGUGUGCCAAGAGUAUGGUAUUGUUCGACACUUCACAGUUAGAGAUACACCACAACAGAAUGGAGUGGCAGAGCGUAUGAAUCGAACAUUGCUGGAGAAAGUUCGAUGUAUGUUGUCCAAUGCUGGGUUGGGCAAGCAAUUUUGGGCUGAGGCUGUGACAUACGCUGGCUAUCUUGUUAAUCGUUUGCCAUCAUCUGCAUUAGAAAGAAAAACUCCUAUGGAGGUAUGGUCUGGAAAACCGACUACAGAUUAUGAUUCCUUACAUGUGUUUGGAUCCACUGCAUAUUACCAUGUGAAGGAGUCAAAGUUAGAUCCGAGAGCAAAGAAAUCUCUCUUUAUGGGAAUCACUUCUGGAGUGAAGGGAUUUUGUCUUUGGUGCUUAGACACAAAGAAAAUCAUCUGUAGCAGAGAUGUUACCUUUGAUGAAUUUGCCAUAUUGAAAAAGGUAGCAGAUAAAGAUAUUCAAACGAGCGAUACUCCACAGCAGGUAGAGUGUACUCCAAAACAGGUGAAGUUUGAGCAGAUGGGGAUUUGCCCAGUUAAUAAGUCUAAUUCUCCAGCCACAAUGGAAGAAUUAGAGGUUGAAGAGGUUCUGACCCAAGAACCAUUAAGUACACCAGAACCAGUUGCAGUUGCAAGGCCACGGAGAGAAAUUCGUAAACCUGCUCGAUUUACUGAUAUGGUGGCCUAUGCCCUUCCCGUUGUUGAUGAUGAUAUUCCUGUCACUUAUCAAGAAGCAAUGCAAAGCUUAGAAAGUGACAAAUGGAAAUACGCCAUGGAUGAAGAAAUGCAAUCUCUCCUGAAGAACAAUACUUGGGAGUUGGCGUAAUUACCGAAAGGUAAAAGGGCAAUAGGAUGCAAGUGGGUAUUCGCAAAGAAAGAUGGAUCUCCUAGCAAGAAAGAUGAUCGCUACAAGGCAAGAUUGGUAGCUAAAAGCUACGCUCAGAAGGAGGGAAUUGACUACAAUGAUGUAUUUUCCCCUGUUGUGAAGCAUUCCUCCAUUAGAAUUUUGUUGGCCUUGGUAGCACAGUUGAACUUGGAGCUAGCUCAACUUGAUGUUAAGACGGCUUUCUUGCAUGGUGAGUUAGAAGAGGAGAUCUAUAUGACUCAGCCCGAAGGAUACAAAGAUGCUGGUGGUAGAAAUUGGGUUUGUAAGCUGAACAAAUCGCUAUAUGGAUUGAAGCAAUCCCCGAGGCAGUGGUACAAGCGAUUUGAUAGCUUUAUGAGAAGGCAGAAGUACACAAGAAGCAAAUAUGACAAUUGUGUGUAUUUACAGAAGCUGCAUAACGGAUCUUUCAUUUAUUUACUCUUGUAUGUUGAUGAUAUGUUAAUCGCUUCGAAGAGCCAAAAAGAGAUAGAUAAGCUGAAGGCUCAGUUGAAUCAAGAGUUCGAGAUGAAAGAUCUAGGUGAGGCCAAGAAGAUUCUCGGCAUGGAGAUAAAUAGAGAUAGACAGAGAGGCAAGCUUUGUUUGAAUCAGAAGCAAUAUCUGAAAAAGGUAUUACAAUGUUUUGGUGUAAAUGAAAACACAAAACAUGUAAGUACCCCACUUGCUUCUCAUUUGAAACUUAGUGCUCAAUUAUCUCCGAAAACUGAAGAAGAAAGAGAAUAUAUGGCAAAAGUCCCAUAUGCUAAUGCAGUUGGGAGUUUGAUGUAUGCGAUGGUGUGUACGCGGCCUGACAUUUCACAAGCUGUUGGAGUUGUGAGCAGGUAUAUGCAUGAUCCUGGAAAAGGACAUUGGCAAGCUGUGAAAUGGAUUCUACGGUAUCUUCGAAAAAUCGUAGAUGUUGGUUUAAUUUUUGAACAGGAUGAAGCACUUGGUCAGUUUGUAGUUGGAUAUGUUGAUUCCGACUUUGCUGGUGAUUUAGAUAAACGUCGUUCAACUACGGGGUAUCUGUUUACUCUUGCGAAAGCCCUAGUGAGUUGAAAGUCUACCUUACAGUCUACAGUAGCUGUGUCUACUACAGAGGCAGAAUAUAUGGCAGUUAUAGAAGCUGUUAAGGAGGCUAUUUGGCUUAAUGGAUUGUUAAAAGACUUCGGAGUUGUUCAAAGUCACAUUAGUCUAUAUUGUGACAGUCAGAGCGCUAUUCAUUUAGCGAAAAAUCAAGUCUAUCAUUCAAGAACCAAGCAUAUUGACGUAAGAUAUCACUUUGUGCGGGAAGUUUUUGAAAAAGGAAAAAUUCUACUUCAAAAGAUUCCGACAGCAGAUAAUCCCGCAGAUAUGAUGACCAAGGUGGUAACAACAAUCAAGUUUAAUCAUUGUUUGAACUUGAUUAACAUCCUGAGAAUUUGAGCACCUUCAGGUGUAUGGCGCUCGAGAGCGCAUUUGGAGGCACUACAAAAGAUAACUUUAUCGAAUUUGGGGAGUUGAAGGAAAUGUGUGAAGAUGUGAUUAUCCUAAUCAAAUCUUCAAGGUGGAGAUUGUUGAAAAAUCAAAUAAGGUAAGUGUUGAAAAGUCAAAAAUGGUGGGAGGUGCAAUUGGCACCGAAAGAAAAAAAUAGUUGGCAAGUUGUUUAAAGUUGAAAGGGAUAAUUGCAAUUUUGGUCCUUAAUUUUUUAAGCCAUUUGCAAGUUAGUCCCUAAACCUCAACUAUAAAUAGGCCUAACCAUUUCUCAUUUCAACCAUCCCAACCAAUCUUUCUCUCUUAGUUUUCUCUCUUCUCCCAUUUGAGAAUUCUUAAGGAAUUCUAUUUGUUUGUAAUAUUUUAGAGAUAGUAAAGUUAUCAUCUGGUGUUAGUGCCCGAGGACGUAGGUAUAAUUUACCGAACCUCGUUAAAACUCUUGUGUUCUUUCUUGUCCUAUUUUUCUUUCAGUAUUUGAGGGUAUAAUAGUAGUAUUUAAUUGUGCUAUUAAAUUACCAUAGAAGGGAUAUUCUGACUAAGGAAAGACUUGGUAUUUAAGAGAUCCUUGUGAUCCACCUCUCUUCCCUGGGAAUUGAACUUUGUGUGAUUUUUUAGUACAAUAAUUUACACGCUUCCGACCCUAUUGGAAUAACAACCUUCUCGCCACACCUUGAGUAGUUAGCUACAAUCAGCAGCUGAUCUUGAUUCAAAAGAAGAAGCAGGGGAUGUUGGUGACCAUAAUUCUGUGACUCCUCCAUUUCUCCUUCCUCUUUGGUUUUUUCCGUCGAUGUAGCAAGAAAGAAAAAAACAGAAAGUGAAUGUUGGAAGUAGAGUAGAAAUUUGAAAGAGAGAGACUACAAAACUAUCUUAGUAUGUUGCUUUUAGGGGUGAGCAUUCGAUUGAAUCGAAUCGAAUCAAAAAUUUUCGAGUUAAUCGAGUUUUCGAAUCUUAUUUUAUCAUCCUAACUUUAUUUGAAAUUUUCUUGAAUCGAGUCGAGCAAGAUGGAAUUCGAAUCGAAUCGAAUCGAAUCGAAUCGAAUAUAUUUGUUCGAGUUAAAUUUUAAAAAAUAAUUUUGGGUCCUUGUAACCACUGUCACCCAUCGUAAUAAAAUUUAUCUACCUUAAUUAAAAUUUUUAUUAACUUUCAUCACCUCAUAAUUUAUUUAUUAAUAUUUUAUAUACGGGUUAGCUUCUUUGUUUGUUUAGUUGCUUCAAUUAUCUUCAGAUUCUUGUUACUAUGUAUUUUCGAAUUAAAAAACAUAUUAGAUGUAAAAAUGUGAUUUUUUAAUAAAAAUGAUUUUAAAGAUAAAAUGUGAAAUUGAUACCAAUAUAAAUUUUUAACAUGAAUAAUUAAUGGCAUAAUUAAUAAUUUAAUUUUAAUAUCAAUAUUCAAUAUGACUAAACAAUCCAAUAAUAUAAAUAAUAUAAAAUGUGAAAUUUAAUUUAAUAAUAUAAAUAGUAUCUAAAUAAAAUUAUUACUAUUUAUGUUUAGUGAUUUUUUUUAGAUAAUUUUAAUUUUUUAUUUGAGAGUAAAGGGUGAGAAGUAAAAAUUUAGGGGGAAAAUAAAAAGUUUUGGGAGAUAAAAGUUUUGAGGGAAAGUAAAUAGGGGAGAGUAAAAUUUUGGAGGGAAAAUAUUAAAAAAAAUUGGGGGUUGAUUUGGGGUAGAUGGGAGGUGGGAUUGAAAGGAAGUAAAAAUUUUAAGAGGAAAGUGGGAGGGAGUAAAAAUUAUGGGGGAAAAGAAAAAGUUUUGAGUGUUUUUGGGAAUAAAAUUUUGAGAAAAAGUAAAUGGGAGAGUAAAAUUUUAGUGGGAAAUGGAUUUUGGGUAGAUUGGGGGGUAAGGAUUGAAUGGGAGUAAAAGUUUUGGGGGGAAAGUGGGAAGGAGUAAAAGUUUUAAGGGAAAAAUAAAAAGGUUUGGGAGUUUGGGGUAAAAAUGUAAAAUAUUAUAGUUUGAUAUUCGAAUUAUUCGAAUUAUUCGAGUUAUUCGAAUUCGAAAACUCAACUCGAUUCGAACUCUAAAUUCGAAAAAAAUUCGAGUUGACUCGAAUAACUCGAUUCGUUUAACUCGAAAUUCGAAUUUUUUAUUUUAUUUUUUCGAGUCGAAUCGAGUUUUGCUCACCCCUAGUUGCUUUUAAUCUGUCUUUGCUUUCAUACUUUACUUUUAUUUGUUUAUAUUUCUAACUUUCAAAAAAAAUAUUUUCUUAAUAAUAAAGUUGAAGUAUAAGACAAACCAUUAUUGUAAAAUUAUGAGGGUAUUUUAAAUAAUAUUACAAGUAUUUUGAUGUUUAUAUAUUAUUUAUUACAUAUAUUGGUGCAUGCAUUUUCAUAAUUCAAUCUUAAUUUAUAAUAACUAAGAAUGGGAUGUCAUGGAUUUGGGUGGUUUCUACCUUAACUAUUAAAUUUGAGAACAAUGAAAAAAUUAAAGAAAAAUACAAAAUUUUCACUUUAUUCCUUGCUUUGUGGAUUAGAUAAUGAAUAUUGGUAUCCAAUCUUUCUUGGUUUUGUUGUGUGCCCAUAAAUUUAAAUGUCCCACAUUGAUUUUAAUUUUAUGUGUUUUACAGAAAGAAAACUAUAAAAAAAUAGUUUUUCCUGUGAAAUAAAUUAAAAAUUUUAGAAUAAAUUAUUAAAAUAGUCACUUUUGUUUAUAUCAAGUUACAUUUUAAUCAUUUAUGUUUGAAAUGUUACGUUUUAGUCACUUACAUUAACAUAUUGUAACAUUUUAGUCACUGAGUUGUUAAUUGCUGUUAAUGGUAUAACAGUAAGAUGACGUGGCACAUUAAAUCAUUAUUUCAAAUGAAAAUUUUAGGUUAAAUUAUACAAUUGGUCCCAUAUUUUUUCGUUUUGAGCAAUUUAAAGUUUUUUUCUUUUAUAUUCUUUAAACUUUCCUUUUUUCCCCCUUAGUUUUCCUACCUUCUUCAUCUCUUUUAGCAUAAAUUUUUUUUAUAUUUUCCAUUUGUUGAACUUUUUUCUAUUAAUGAAAAAAGAAAAGGCGAAAGCUGAAACCAAAAUAAAACUUAGUUCGCAUAUUCUCACCCCACAAUUACGAACCCUCAUCAUCCAUUAUCACUUCAACAAACAAAAUUUGGAUCUCUCAAUGACCUAGUCCACAAACUCACCUCACUCAGAGACCUUACCAAUCAUGACUUAUGGUCGUCCACCCUCAACAAAGUUUCCUGAGCCCAUUCCCUAAAUCUCCUAACCAACUCCCACGACCACCUUAUCUAGCUAUCUUACCUACAAAAUUCUCACCCUCUUCAAACUAUGUUGUUUCAUGAAUUUUUCAAACGAGCUCUACACUCUCAAUGACUAAAAUGACCACCAUACGAAACUUUGGUUCCACGCUACCUUUCUCUCUUCAGUUCAUCCAUGCUCGGUUUUCAAUCAAGCUUGCUUGGAAAUAUCCAAGAAUGUUUAGAUCAAUUUUAUCAUUUGCUUAUUUUUAUUCAUCAGAAAAAAAAAGGAAAGGAAUAAUCUUCACGCUUUUGUAAAAGUUUGAAAAUGGAAAAAAUUUAUUUUGAAUAUAAAGAAUUCAAUUUAUGUUUAGAUUUGAUUAAUGAUAUGAUUUUUUAUAUUGAUUAGUUAGACCCAAUUUUAGUUUCAAAAUUAGGUUAUAUUCAUAUCAAGAUUUAAUUAAGAAGGAUUGAUAUUCGAUUUUCAGUGAAAUUCAAUUUAAAAAACAUGUGAAAGAAACAAUGACUUGGUUUAUUUGGCAGGUAAAGAUUAUGUUUCUGCUGUGAAAAUAUAAUAAGAGAGAAAAAUAAAGGGGGAAGAAAAAAAGAGAAAUAAAGAAAUAAAAAGAAAAAAAUAAAUUGUUCAAAAAAUAAAAGUAUAGGGACUAGUUUUAAUAAAUGAAAAACAUAGAAAAAUUAUAUUAAAAGAAAUGGAGAUAGGAGAAAAUAGGGGGAGAAGAAGAAGAGAAUGAAAACACAAAAGAAAAAGGAAAGUUUAAAGAACAUAAAAUUAAAUUAAAUUGCUUAAAACGAAAAAAAUAUAGGGACUAAUUGUAUAAUUUAACCUAAAAUUUUCAUUUGAAAUGAUGAUUUAACGUGCCACGUCAGCUUACCAUUACAUCGUUAACGACAAUUAAUGCUCAGUGACUAAAAUGUUAUAACACGAUAACAUGAACAACUAAAAUUUAACAUUUCAAAUAUAAGUGACUAAAAUGCAACCUGAGAUAAACAAAAAUGACUAUUCUGAUAAUUUACCUAAAAUUUUAUUUAAUUCUCUUUAUACAUUGUUGAUAAUUUCAUAAAAUAAAUUAUAAAUUUUCAAACAUCUAUUAAAAUUUUCUGGUAAUUCCUUGACAAAAUUCGAUAACUAAAGUAUAGCGAAUAUUUGAAAAAGAAAAACCCUAAAUCUAUCUUUAGUACAUUUCUUUUAACAAGUUUCUUCGGGCUACCUUCAUGCUUUGCUUGAGUGAGUGCAUCUACCAAUGAUUUUUUUUUAUAUCAAUACAAGACUAGAGGAUUGAGAAGGGAUGACAUAUAAGAGCUUUAAUCACUAUUCCAAACAUGUCCAACUCUAUUAAAUAUUUUAAAUUAAAAAAUAAAAAUACAUUUAAUAAAUUUAAAAUUCCCACAAAACUUUUUUUAGAAAAACAAUAAACUAUUCCUGGAUUUAAUUGAGCUAAUAACAAAUACAAUAAUAUUUUUAGUGGACAUACAUUGAAGAUGAGAUAAAGUAACUUAGAUUCUUUAGCAAUGUUAACCAAAUUUGCCCAUCAACUCACCACUUGAUGAACAAAGCUAGAGAACAUAUGCAACAAUGAGUUAACCUCUUAAACAUCUGUUUCAAAUCCAAAGUUUGUACCAUUCAUCUAUGUUCAAACCACACAUAUUUCAUCUUUAGAUUAUUACAUAACAUUUAUUUAAAAUUUAAAAAUUAAGAAAAACCUAAUUACAAUGACGACAACAACUAAUAUCACAAAUAACAAGAUAAAGAUCAAACCCUAUUUUUCAAUAUUGAGUUUUCUUACAAAUGAAGUGACAUGUUUCAAAUAUAUUUGCGCAAGGGCCACUUCCACCAACUCAGUAGAGAAACGGGUGCUACACAAUUUGUGGACAGUAUAUUUGCACUCCAACUUUAAACAUUCAAGAGCUAUAUCUUCACAAGGCCAACCACAUUUAUCACAAUCAGGGUAAUCAUACUUCUUCUUCACAAGGGUGAGUAGGUGGGGAUGAUUUUUUUCUUCAUAGAUGCUCCCGAGUUUGAGUAAUGGAUAUGUUCCAAGAACACAACCAACAUGAGAAGAAGCAUCGCAUUUUGCACAAUGAUAAAACCAACUGUUUGGGUCUUGACUUUCUUCAUAGAUAUCACAAUGAUGAUUUUCUAAAUAGUUGUUAUCAUCAUAAUCAGUGAGUGAAAGAAUAUGCUUAUCGCAUUUGUGACGAGCUGUAAUUGGAAGUGAAAAACAUUCAAGAUGUAGUACAAAAUUGCAAUCCUUACAACAAAAUGCCCCAUCUCCCUUUGUUGUAUAACCGCAAGCAUUGCAGUACUGGCCUUUGUGGUCUCCGCAGAAAAAGAGGGGGUGUUCAUGUUUCAAACAUGUUCGAGCACCAGGAGUAAGAGCAAUCACACAUCGGAGACAUAUCUUACUCUCACAUUCACUACUUUCAUAAGCAAAGGAAUUAGAUAUUUGCCAACAUUGUUCACACCAAAAACCUUGUACGAAAUAAGUGCAAGAGGUUCUCGGCAACGAUGAUGCCAAACAUUCUUCAUCUUAGGUAACUCGGCACACGCUUUAUGAAGAAAAAAAACACAUUCUGUACAAUAGUAAAAUGGAUCCGUGAUUGGCAACAUACACCCUUCACAACUAUUUUCAUAUCCUCCAACAAAGGGACCUAACAUUAGAUUAUGCAUAUGCAUGAAAUGCGUUACUUUUGUAGCUUCUUCAGCAUUGUUCCUCUCAAUAACAAUGAUGGAACUUUCAUUGGGCAUCUCAUCUUCAUUUUCUACUAUUUCAUAUGAAUUUUUAUCCUUCAUUGCACACUUCACAUGGAAUAUAACGUCACACUUUGAACAAUAGUAAUUACCAUGCUCUGUAUUGACUUCAUUAUAGCAUAUUAUGCAAUCCAAAACUCUAAAAUCUUCUGUGUGAUGGAAAUAUUUGUGAAAAAUGCGAUGAUCAUGCCACUUGCUUUUGAUGAUGCGUGGCAAUGAAGUGCACUUUUUAUGGACCAUAAUGUUGCAUGUACAACAUAUGUAGGAAGCAUAACUUCCUUCAAUACCACAUGCAUCACAAAUGAAUGAUGAUCCUCUCGGAAACAAACUGAAAGGAUGUUCAUGCCUUUUAUCUUCAACAACAAGAUCUAAAGCUGCUGAUACACAUUCAAAGUGAGCAGCAAACUUACAAGGUGAACAACCAUAAAUAAAUCCUAAACCUUUUCCACUGGUUUCUCCGCAUAUCUUGCAAGAGAACUGUUCGCUAUUAAAUUGUAGAACAAGAGAAUGCUUGCGAUGGCACACAAGGUUCAGUUUGAAAGAAAGCUCGGCGCAUUUCUUAUGUAAAUUAAAUCCAUAGUCAAGAGAAAAGUAUGUAUAAUUUGCUAAUGGUUCCCAACACCAAAAGCAUUUAGAAACAUCUUCAAGUUCUUCAUCACCACUUUUAGUGGAAAUCAAUGGAUGUUGAAGGGCAACAUGCUCAAGCUCUUUCAAAUGAUUUUCAGCAAUAUUAAAUGUAAAUAGAGCACAUUUAAUAUGAAAGUCCAAUUCGCACGAGCAGUGAUAUACAAACUUGUCACCACUUUGACGGUAUAAAGCGCAAAUGUACUCUCCAGGUGAAUUAUAAGGUGGGUUUUCCAUAAGAACAAGAGGAUGGUCGUGAUGAAAAGGGUGAUUAAGCUCCAAAGGUGCCUCAGCACAUGCCUUGUGAAGGUAAAACCCACAAUCCUGGGCACAGCUAAAACAUGGAGUUGACACCUUCUCGCCACACCUUGAUCAGCUGAUCUUCAUUCAAAAGAAGCAAGGGAUGUUGGUGACCAUAAUUCAGUGGCUCCUCCAUUUCUCCUUCCCCUUUGGUUUUUUCCGUCGACGUAGCAAGAAAGAAAAAAAACUGAAACUCAAUUUUUGAAGUGAAGUACUAAUUUGAAAGAAAGAGACUCCAAAACUAUCCUAGUAUAUUGCUUUUAUUCUGUCUUUGCUUUCGUACCUUACUUUAGUUGGUUUCUUUUAUUUGUUUAUAUUUCUUAACUUUUUCAUAUGAAUUUUUAUCCUUCAUUGCACACUUCACAUGGAAUAUAACGUCACACUUUGAACAAUAGUAAUUACCAUGCUCUGUAUUGACUUCAUUAUAGCAUAUUAUGCAAUCCAAAACUCUAAAAUCUUCUGUGUGAUGGAAAUAUUUGUGAAAAAUGCGAUGAUCAUGCCACUUGCUUUUGAUGAUGCGUGGCAAUGAAGUGCACUUUUUAUGGACCAUAAUGUUGCAUGUACAACAUAUGUAGGAAGCAUAACUUCCUUCAAUACCACAUGCAUCACAAAUGAAUGAUGAUCCUCUCGGAAACAAACUGAAAGGAUGUUCAUGCCUUUUAUCUUCAACAACAAGAUCUAAAGCUGCUGAUACACAUUCAAAGUGAGCAGCAAACUUACAAGGUGAACAACCAUAAAUAAAUCCUAAACCUUUUCCACUGGUUUCUCCGCAUAUCUUGCAAGAGAACUGUUCGCUAUUAAAUUGUAGAACAAGAGAAUGCUUGCGAUGGCACACAAGGUUCAGUUUGAAAGAAAGCUCGGCGCAUUUCUUAUGUAAAUUAAAUCCAUAGUCAAGAGAAAAGUAUGUAUAAUUUGCUAAUGGUUCCCAACACCAAAAGCAUUUAGAAACAUCUUCAAGUUCUUCAUCACCACUUUUAGUGGAAAUCAAUGGAUGUUGAAGGGCAACAUGCUCAAGCUCUUUCAAAUGAUUUUCAGCAAUAUUAAAUGUAAAUAGAGCACAUUUAAUAUGAAAGUCCAAUUCGCACGAGCAGUGAUAUACAAACUUGUCACCACUUUGACGGUAUAAAGCGCAAAUGUACUCUCCAGGUGAAUUAUAAGGUGGGUUUUCCAUAAGAACAAGAGGAUGGUCGUGAUGAAAAGGGUGAUUAAGCUCCAAAGGUGCCUCAGCACAUGCCUUGUGAAGGUAAAACCCACAAUCCUGGGCACAGCUAAAACAUGGAGUUGACACCUUCUCGCCACACCUUGAUCAGCUGAUCUUCAUUCAAAAGAAGCAAGGGAUGUUGGUGACCAUAAUUCAGUGGCUCCUCCAUUUCUCCUUCCCCUUUGGUUUUUUCCGUCGACGUAGCAAGAAAGAAAAAAAACUGAAACUCAAUUUUUGAAGUGAAGUACUAAUUUGAAAGAAAGAGACUCCAAAACUAUCCUAGUAUAUUGCUUUUAUUCUGUCUUUGCUUUCGUACCUUACUUUAGUUGGUUUCUUUUAUUUGUUUAUAUUUCUUAACUUUUUCAUAUAAAUUUUAUUUUCUUAAUAAUAAAGUUAAAGAUUAGUAAAGUACAAGACAAACCUUUAUUGUAAAAUUAUGAGGGCAUUUUCUAUAAUAUUACAAGUAUUUUGAUGUUUAUAUAUUAUUUAUUACAUGGAUUUUGUUGUUUUGUGCUAAGAAAGUACAUGUCACAAAUUUAGUUGUGUUGGUUGCUCAAUAUUGAUUUGUAAUUUUAUGUGUUUCAUAAAAAUAAAAGUAUAAAUAAAAUAUUUUAUUCAACAAAUUAAAAUACUUUAUUUAAUUCUCUUUAUACAUUGUUGAUAAUUUCAUAAAAUUUAUUAUGAAUUUUUAAACAUAUGUUAAGAUUCCCUAAGAAAGUUAAAAACAAAAGUAUAGCGAAUAUCUAAAAAAGAAAAACCCCCAAAUCUAUCUUUAGUAUAUUUCCUUUAACGAGUUUCUUUAUACUACCUUAAUACUUUGCUUGAGUGAGUGGAUUUCUUAUAAAUGUUUUUAUAAUUCAAUGAGGCUUGAUACUUUGUUUGGGUGAGUGUAUUUUAUCAAAAAUAUUUUUUUUACCAAUACAAUAUUAGAGGAUUGAGAAGAGGAUGACGGAGUUUAAAUCACGUCUAGGUGUGAGACAAGAGCUUUAAUUUGAACAUAUAUUGAAGAUGAGAUAAAGUAACUUAAAUUCCUUAGCAAUGUUAGCCAAAUUUGCCCAUCAACUCACCAAUUGGUGAACAAAGCUAGAGAACAUAUGCAACAAUGAGUAAACCUCUUAAGCAACUGUUUCAAAUCCAAACUUUUCUUUUUAAAUUUGGGCCAAGGUUAAGGAAAGGCUUGGGGUUGCAAAGUUUGUACCUUCAAUAAUACUUUCAUGGCAACGAAGCUGUGCUCAUGACUGUUAAUAACAUAACUUUGCUCUCUUAAUUGUCUAAACAAUCUUUGCUUUUAGCCUUCACUAGAUUUCAAAAACAUGCAACAUUAAGAAAAUCAAGCAUUGACCCUAAAUCUUCUGUUUCGAGCCAUAUUGCUUCGACUCUUUCAUUUUACAUGAAAUAUUUAUCCGGCAUAUAGGGGUAUGAAUAUGUUUAUGUUAAACUCGUACUCAUAUUUAUCGUUCAUAUUCAUAUUCGAAUAAGUUUAAAGUGAAAAGAGGAAUGAAAAAAGGUAUAGUGAAAGCACUGAAAAUAAAAGUAGUUACGAUACCACAUUUAUAAUUUUCUUUAUUUUCAAAGUUAUUUAGCAACACUAAGGUUUAUUUACGUAGUUUAAUUUUCUUAUUCUGUGGAGUCUAGGUUAGUGGGUCAUUUUAUUAUCUUUAAUCACAAAUACAACAAAUAAUUCAUACUCUAUCGCUCCUCAAGUAUUGAGAUCUCACUUUUAUACCGAAAAACUAGAACACUCAUCUCCAAAAUCUCCCUAAAAACUUAGGAAGUAAACACUCAACAAUAUUUACAAUAACAGUUUGCACUCUCUUACAAAAACAAUUUCUCAAUAAAUAUAUUAAAGUGCUCUCAAUAAGCUCUCAUAUAAAACCUUGACAAGCAUAUAUCAAUUUUGGUUUACUAACAUAAAAUUUAAGUGAAUACAAAAUAACUCCUUAAAAAUAGCUAUUACAACAUAAACAUCUAAAGCACAAUCAAUCAAAUAUAUGCUCAACAAAAUUAACAACACAAUCUCGAUUAAAUCUUCACAUUUUAAGGAUUGAAUCUUCAAAUGCCAAGGAUUAGUUUCUAUAUAUGGACCAUAUUAUUUUCAAUAUAACAACACAUUAAAAGUCUAAAUUUUUUCUUCAUUAAAUUGCCAAACCAAAGAAGGUAAAUUAUUAAACUACCUCAAUGACAGCCUACCGUGAACACUAUCAAAUGUCACUCAGAUUCAUUAUUUACAUUUUACCUCAACAACCUUGAAUCAUAAAAAUAUAGAUACAACAAAAUCACUAACAAUUACAAUAAAAGAAAAUAACUAAAAAAAAUGUAAUAGAAGACGUCCCAAGCAUAAUUUUAUACCCUACACUCAAUCUUUGUUGCAAAAGAUUUCUCAGUAACUCCAGUAGCAGUAGAUCGGAACAAAAACCAAAACUUGUUGACAUUAUUUUAUUUUAUUUUAUUUUAAUAUUUAAUAAUUAUAUACACAUUUUUUACUUAUUGAAAUUUUUUAUAUAAUAAUCUUAACAUUAUUUUAAUGUUUACAUUAGAGUAAUAUUAUAUAUUUAGUAUAAGUUUACUUUUUUAAUGUAUUCUAAAUUACAUAAUAUAUAAAAAUAACUUAAUAUAAAGUAUUAUAAACUUAAAUUGGGCCGAGCUCGGGCUUUGAAUGUUCAAAUCCAAGCCCAACCCAUAUUUUAAAUGGGCCUAAUUUUUUUACCUAUUACCAUUUUUUAGGCCUAGUAUUUUUGUCAAAACCCUUUCAAAUUUCGGGUGAACCUUUGGGCCUAGGUGAGUAGCCUGACCCAUGAACAUGUCUAGUACUUUGUCUCCAAAAUCCAUUAAAAUCUAGUAAUAAAGGUCAUUACAAAUCUCAACCCUUCAUCUCCUCUCUAAACCUAAAAAAUCCAUACUGGUAGAGUUUAGGUUUAGAUUUGUUGCACUUACACCUAUUUUCUAUUGGUUUUUUGGGGGAUUUGGGACGUGAGGUGAAGGAAUAGAGAAGAAAAAAGUGGGAAAAGAGAGGAAAGAAAAGAAGAAUAAUUCAAUAAUAAUUGUAGUCAAAACUAGAGAAUAUGCUUUAAAAUUUUGGAUCAUUGAGUUUCUAGGUUUGAGUUCGGUUAGGUAUUUUUAUGCUUGUGUAGAUUUAAUAACAAUUACAAUUAUUUAAUUAUUUAUUUCAUAGAUAAAUUUCAACUACUUACUAUAUAAAUUCUAUACAAAUCUUAUAAUAAACACAAUAACAUAAUUGUUCAAUUCUUAAAUAAAUCCAUUAUUAUUUAUUCCAUUCUUUCACUUACUAAUUGGUAUAUCUUUCCUUAAUUUAUUCACAAUUCAAUAUCAAUAAACUAUAUUCAACUAUGCACUUAUCAAUCAUAUUCCAUUUUAAUCCAUUUCAAUAACAGUUAAUUUCAUUUAUAUCAUAUCAACUUACUAUCCCUUAUAGCUUUAACUAUAUACACACGACUCAUAUAUCUCAAAUCACAUUUCAAUUCAUCAAGUGGCAUCAUAUAUCAUCAAUUCGGACUCCAAUCAUUUCAUGAACCUUUGAUUCAUGUUUUCAAUUUCAUAUCUAAAUUUUCAACUCGUUUCAUUUCAAUAGCUUGAUCAAUCAAAUUUAUUCGAUUUAUCUUUUCACUUAUUUACCCUUAUUAACAAAAUUCGGACCUUGGCGGAUACACGGAUCCAAUCAAUCACACCAGUUUGGCACUCGUGCCUCGUCGGAUAGUUAGAAGCAAAGUUGACACCCAAUGUCUCAUCGGCCUAGCCGAAGAGAGUUGGUACCCAAUGCCUCAUCGAAUCUAUCCGAAGAAAUAUAAUGACACCCAGUGUCUCAUCGACUCGAGGUCGAAGUAUCCCUGAACUCUUCCAAUCCUAUGGCAUGCCAACUAUAUCCGACCUAGCCCGAUACUGUUAAUAGGGUAUUUGAUUCACUUUCUCAAUUCAAUAAUUCUUUCAUCAAUAUACCAUUCUAAUAAUCACAUAUAUUCACACAUUUUCAUAAUUUCUUACAUUUUCAUUCAAUUCAACAAAUAUAUUUCAAUUAUUCAUAUUAAUUUAUAAUUCAAUACAAUUCAAUUCACUUUUCAAUAUCAAAUAUUCAAAUAUCACAAAUCUCAUAUAUUCAUAUCAAUUUCCUCAUAUUUCCAAUCAAUAUAAAUUCAAUAAAUUCAUUGCAUACCAUAAUCAAUCCAUUUCAAUUGUAAAACAUCAUAAUUCUAACACUAACAAUUGCCAUAUGUAUAUAAAUAUAACAAAUAAUGACUAAGUUCAGAUUAUAGAAAUACAAACCAUGUUUUCUCGAGCUAACUCCCGUUGUCUUUGCCAUUUUUUCUUGCUUAGCUGAGAUUUCCCGAGACAACAUUAGCAAUUAAACUUUAAAGCUUCAAACCUUCAAUUUUCCCUUUUCUUUCUUUCCUUUCUUUUUCUCGUUCUUUCUCCCCUGUUUCACGUUUGCCUAUUCUGUUUCUUUCCUUUUUAUUUCUUUCAUUUACUUUGUAUUGUUUUAUAUAUAUAAUAUAAUAAGUUAAUAAAUAUCUAUUUAAUAAUCACUAUUUAUUUUACAUUUAUAUAUAUUUUUAUUAUUACACAUGUCACAAAUUUUACCAUACAUUUGUCAUACCUUUAUUUAUUUAUUUCAUAAAAAUAUUAUAAUAUAAUUAUUUAAUUAAUAAAUAUCUUUUAUAAAUAAUAAAUGUAUAAGCCCAAUUUGACCCGGACUAAACCCAACAAGCCCAAAACAAAAAAUUAAACCUACCCAACAGGCCCACUAAAAACCCUAAGCCCACUAAACCAGCCCAAAACCUUAACACACAAAACAAAACAAAAAAAACCCUAAAUUAACAUAGCUAGCCGCUGCCCUCUUCUGACACCACCCACCGCCACCUGCUCCACCACCUAGGUCACUGUCACCACUUGCACCUGCAAAAAGAAGGAAAAGACAGUAAAAAAAAAUGAAACAAGUUGUAAAUGGCUAUAAAAAGCCAAAUCUAAAACCAUUGUAACAUUCGGCAACUUUUGGAUAAAUAAAAAGAAGCAUUCGAUUUUUUUUAAGAGCAAAAAUAGCAAUUCCAACAAUAUCAAAGUAAGAGAAUAGCAUCAAAUCAAACCCAAUAUCAGAAAUCGGAGAACCGAAAGUACCAAAACCUAAGGUGAUCUUAACUUUAUUUUCGUUUUGUAUUCGGGUCCAUUUUCUCACGUAUAUAUAUAUUAAAAACAUAUAAAAAUAAAAAAAAAUAAAAAGAAAGAAAAAAGUACAUUUUGGAAUUCCACGGUGGCCGGCGACGGUGGCCGGCGGCGAUGUCACGGAGUCUCCUCGCCAGAUUCUGGCAUUGGCCAGUGAGAAAAUGAAGGAGAGCCCACCUUUUUUUUCUAAAAACCCUAAAAAGUGAUUUUUUGGGGUGAAAAGUGGCUUAUAUACAGUGAUAAAACGGCAUUGUUUUCAUUGGCCUCCCCAGACGCCAAAACGACGUCGUUUUGGGGAGGCCGACCCGAUCCGACCCUACCCGCCCUAGCCAAGGAUCCGUGUGUUUUUUUUACGGAAGGGCUAUUUGCACGUUUAGCCCUUCCGCUUUUUUUAUAAUUAUGCAAUUGAGUUUUGAUUCUUUUUAAUUUUGACCCCGAAAUCUAUUGGAAGUUCAAUUUGGGCCUUAUUUGAACGGUGUCAUUUAGGAGGGCCGGGUUAUUUUCUCCUUUAGGCCCGCCUGGUUGUUCGCGUGUUUAAAUCAGUCACAUUCUCCUUUAUUUCUUUUUAAAUCUACCCCAAAACUUUGUUUUUAGAUUCACUUUCGUCCUUAUCAUUACUUUUGUUGUUUUAUUAUAUUAUUACUAUUAUUAUUAUACUUGUAUUUAUAUUUAUUUUAUUCUAAUACCAUUAUUUUUACUACUUCUAUUAUUAUUAUUUUUCAUACAUAUAUAUUAUUAUUUAUAUUAUUACUAUUAUUAACGCUCUUAUUGUUACUAUUAUUAAUCCUUUUACAUUACUAUUAUUGUUACUAUUAUUACUAUCUUUUUCGUUUAUUUUUGUUAAUAUUAUUAUUAUGAUCUUAUUUUAUUGCUAUUAUCAUUUCUUUAAAAUUAUUGUUACUAUUAUUCUUUUACCAUUUAAUACAUAUUAUUAUUAUUAUUAAUGUAUGUUUUUAUUAUGUAUGUAUAUAUAUAUAUUUAUAUAUAGUAUUAUUUUUAAUUACAUUAUUUUAAUAUUAUUAUAUUAUAUUUGCUUUUUGUAUUUCAUUAUUAUUACUAGUACUAUUAUCAAUAUCAUCAUUAUUAAUAUAUAUAUACAUGUGUAUUUUUCAUGUUCAUAUUAGUAUUUUCUACUAUUAUUACAAAUAUAUUAUUUCUUUUAUUAUAUUAUUAGAACAUUUUUUCUUUUAUCGUGAAUAUUAUUGUUAUUUUUAUUUUAAUAGUUAAUUGUAUCAUCGUUUGUAUUAUUUACAAAUUUCUAUUGCAAAUGAUAUUAUUAUUUUUUCAUGUUUUUAAUUAAUUUCAAUAAAUAAGGCAACAUAUCAAUUUCAACACUAAGUCGCUGAUUUCAUCGCUAUGUUGGGUGAAUAUCAUCGGCUCGUGUUAAAAACGAUACGUCCUUCUAAAAAACCAAAAAUUUCAAAUUCUCGUAUUCCAAUCGGAUCGCGAUUAAAUAUUAAAUUGAACUUAUAUUUUUGAGAAUUAAGACAACGUGUGUUUAACAAGAUACCAAUUUUGAGCGUCGCGAGGGUGCUAAUACCUUCCUUGUGCGUAACCUAUUUUUCUCUGAAUCUUCGCAUAGACCCAAAUUCGGCCUUCAUUUUUGUUCAAAAAUAAAUUUUCUUUUUCAAAAAAAAAAAGAAUUUAUUAGGUGUCCGAUCACACAAAGAAAAAGAUCAGUGGCGACUCCUUUUCUUUUUAAAACCGAAAUUCCAUUUUCAAAUAAUCGCCUCAAUUAGCGACCAACGUGAAAUUUUACGUCGUUACAAUAAAUAUCUACUAAUAAUUAAAAAUACAUAUUACAAAUGUAUGUAUUCAAUUUAUUACACAUGUAUUUUUUAAUUACUACACAUUUGUCACUAUUUUAAUUUAUUUCAUAAUAUAAUAUAAUAUUAAUAAUAAUUAAUAAUUAUAACAAUAAUUUAAUAUUUAAAUAAAUAUCUAUUUAUUACCAAAUCCUUGUAUUACAAAUGCGUAUAUUUUUAUUUAUACACUUAUAUCAAAUCAUUUUCAUACUCUUGUCUUUCUUUUAUUUAUUUUAUUUACCAUGCAAUUGUCAAAAUAAUAUUAUAAUAUAAUUAACAUAAUUUACAAUAAAAUAAUAAUAUAAUCUACAAAAAAUCUAGGAUUUUAUCAUGCUAUGCCGCCUCAUCUAAUGAGAUAGGCAUAAUUGCCUAUUUGGUCCUUUUUAUUUUCUAUUAAUCUACAAUUCAAUUUUCAUCCUUUAUUCAAUUUAGUCAUUUUUCCUAAUUUCUCUUAAUUAAGCUAAAUUCACUUAAUUAAAGCCUAGUUAAUUACUCAAUUAAAUUCGUAGUUAUUUUUAAUAAAUAUUUUCUAAUCCAUUUUUCAGAAACGGAGACCCGAAAAUACAUUUUUCUGAUAACAUUAAAAUUCGGGUCGUUAUAGCUGCUAUAUAUGUUUGAAUUGUCAUUGAAUUAGAUAUGACAUGAAUUGUUUGAUUGUGAACUUGAGAAUGUGUAGUGAUCAAUGAGAUAGUAGAAUUCCCGUUGAGGCCUUAGGAAGUAAACCGGAUAUUUAUGCCGCAACAUUUGGAUCAUGUAAGUGAGCUAGUGUAAGACAUGUCUGGGACAUUUAUCGGCCACAUUAUGAGAGCCAAUGUAAGACCACGUCUAGGACAUGGCAUCGGCAUUAAGACGAGUGCUAGUGUAAGACAUGUCUGGGACAUGAAUCAAGAUGAGUGCUAGUGUAAGACAUGUCUGGGACAUGUAUCGGCCUCGAGAUGUAAGCUAGUGUAAGACAUGUCUGGGAUAUGCAUCGGCUACAAGAUGUGUCAGUGUAAGACUAUGUCUGGGACAUGGCAGCGGCACGGAUAUGCUAAAGCUAGUGUAAGACCAUGUCUAGGAUAUAGCAUCAGCCACGAUGAUGAUAGCCAGAGUAAGACCAUGUCCGGGACAUGGCUUCGGCAACUUAUCCCAUGGUUGAGGCUUAUGGAAUAUCCGGUAAUAUUCCGAAUGGUUCAACGGUAAAAGUUAUGAUUUUGAGUUAAUAAGGAAAGUAUAAUACCGUGUUGUGAGUGAUACAGGUACCUAAUUGGUAUGUAUGAGAUAUGAGCUCUAUAUAUAUGUUUGUGAUUUGUACGGACGGUAAUGAGUAAGUUAUACUUAUGCCUACUUUGGUAUUAUGAGCAUGGUGAUUGCUGAUAUAUUGUUGUUGUAUAUUACUUAUAUGCAACUUACUAAGCUUUUAUGCUUACUCCCUUUUCCUUUCCUUUUCCUUUUCCUUUCCAUUUCCUUACAGUGCUGCCUAACUAGCUCAAGGAUCACCGGAAGUCAGAGAUAUCAAUCACACUAUCAACCGAAGCAUUCAGUAUAGUUGGAUUUAUAUUUUUGAAUAUGGCAUGUAUAGGGAUUAGACUUUAUUAUUUUGUGUCUUUGAGAAUUGGCCAAAUGUAAUGACUCGAGUUGGAAAUCUUUUAUUUUGUACUAAGCUUUGAAUGAUGGCUAACAUUCAUUUUCAGUUUAUAAAAGAUACAUUUCCAUGGUUGAAUAAGUACUAAUGUGGUUGAAUGGGCUAUAUGAAUUGUGUUUAUUUUGGUAUUGUUUAGUAUUUGUAUGAAACUAGGUAUGUAAGGGUGGCAAUGAGGCUUGGUAAAUAGCCUUAUAUUGUCCACACGGGUAGACACACGGGCGUGUGUCUAGGCCGUGUGUGACACACGGCCAGCCCCAUGGGCGUGUUGUUCAGCUGUGUGUCCUCUGCACGUGAAAUUUACAAGUUAGUAUGCAUGGUAGUAAACACACGGGUAGAGACACGGCCAUGUGUCUCAGCCGUGUGAAGGACACGGCCUAGCACACGGGCGUGUACCUUGGCCGUGUGACAUUCUGGAGUUGCUGACGUCAGAAACAGAAUGUCCAGGUUUUUGCACACGGGCUAGGACACGGGCAUGUCAUAGCCGUGUGAUGGACACGGGUCAGGCACACGAGCGUGUGCCAGGCUGUGUGAAAACCCUUGUAGGUGUAAAUUAGAAAUAAAUUCCACACGGGUAAAGGACACGGGCAUGUCCCUAGGUGCUUAGGCCGUGUGAGCCACACAGGCUACUAGAACGGGCGUGUUCCCUAUUUUAAAGGCAAAAUUUUUAUAGUUGGUUUAAGGACCCGGCAUGGUCCCAAAUAAAUUUUAAUGAUCUAUUUGGGGCUCGUAGGCCCAUAAUAAGAAGUUUAAAAUAGAAAUUGAAAAGUUUAUAAUUGGUACAAAGUCUUGGUGACUCGAGAUAGUUAGUGUGCAUGAGAUUAAGUUUGGUAAUGCCUUGUACUCUGCCCUGGUGUAGGUUACGGGAAUCGGGUGUUACAUAAAUGAACUAAUCUUUCAAUUUUAUUUGGAACUGUAGUAAUUUUAGUUUAUCAAAUGCUAAACCUAAUUUGAAUGUGCAGUAAAAGAGAAAUAAUUUCAUAAAAAAGUUGUAUUUUCAAGUAAACUUAUAUAAAGAAACAAAGAGAAGCAUUCGACAACAGCUUUAUUAUUGUAAGUACAAUCACACUCUCAAAUUACAAGAAAAUUUAAAAUCAACAAUCAAACACCAAUGCAACCCACACAAGUUUCAACUCUAGAUUAUUACAUGAUAUUUAUUUAAAACUUAAAAAGUCGGAUAAACCAAAUUAUAAUGACAACAACAACUAACAUCACAAGUAACAAGGUAAAGAUCAAACCCUGUGUUCCACUCUUAAGUUUUCCUGCAAAUGAAGUGGUAGGUUUCAAAUAUGAUUACAUCUAAAAUUGCUACAUGGACCAUUCAAACCAUAAAGAAUCAGGUGCUACACAAUCCCAAUGGACAAUAUAUUUGCACUCCGACUUAGAGCAUUCAAGAGCCACAUCUUCACAAGGGUUACUGCAUUCAUCACAAUCAGGGUAGUAAUACUUCUUCUUCACAAUGGUCAGUGGGUGUGGAUGACAUGUUUCUUCAUAGAUUAUGCUCCCGAGUUUGAGGAAUGGAUAGUUUCCAAGAACACAAUUAACAUGAGCCGAAGUAUCGCAUGUUGCACAAUGAUAAAACCGACGAUUUGGAUCUCGACUUUCUUCACAGAUAUCACAAUGAUGACUUUUUGAAUAAUUGUUAUCAUCAUGAUCAGUGAGUAAAAGAAUAUGCUCAUCGCAUUUGUGACGAGCUGUAAUUGGAAGUGAAAAACAUCCAGCAUGUAGCACAAAAUUACAAUCCUUACAACAAAAUGCAUUCCAUGUAGCCUUACCACAAGCAUUGCAUUUUCGCUCCUGAUCUCUGUAGAAAAAGAGGGGGUGUUCAUGUUUCAAACAUGUUUGAGCACCAGGAGUAAGAGCAACCACACAUCGGAGACAUACUUUAUUCUCACAUCUACAACAUUCAUAAGCAAAGGCAUUAGAUACUUCACUACAUAAUCCACACUUAAAAACCUUGUCUGAAAUAAGGGUGAGAGGCUCUUGGCAAAGAUGAUACCAAACAUUCUUCAUCUUAAGCAACUCGGCACAUGCUUUAUGAAGAAAAAAACCACAUUCUGAACAAUAGUAAAAUGGAUCCGAGAUUGGUAACAUACACCCAUCGCAACUAUUUUCAUAUCCUCUAACAAAGGGACCUAACAUUAGAUUAUGCAUAUGCUUGAAAUGCUUUACUUUUUCAGCUUCUCCAGUAUCGUUCCACUCAAUAACACUGAUGGAACUUUCAUUGGGCAUCUCAUCUUCAUUUUCUACUAUUUCAUAUGAAUUUUUAUCCUUCAUUGCACACUUCACAUGGAAUGUAAUAUUGCAAUGUGAACAACAAUAACUACCAUGCUCUGGAUCUACUUCAUCAUGACAAAUGAUGCAGUCUGAACUUCCAAAUUCAUCCGGAAGGAGAUAUUUGUGAAAAAGGCGAUGAUCAUGCCACUUGCUUUUGAUGAUGCGUGGCAAUGAAGUGCACUUUUUAUGGACCAUAAUGUUGCAUGUACAACAUAUGUAGGCAACAUAGAUUCCUUCGGUACCACAUGCAUCACAAAUGAAUGAUGAUGGUCUUCGAAACAAAUUGAAUGGAUGUUCAUGGCUUUUUUCUUUAACAGUAAAAUCAAAAGAUGUUGACACACAUUCAAUGUGAACAACAAACUUACAAGGAGAGCAACCAUAAACAAAUCCUCUUCUCGUUGUUACUUGGCAUAUCUUGCAAGAGAGCCGUUCCCUAUUAAAUUGUAGAACAAGAGGAUGCUUACGAUGCCACACGCGAUUUAGUUUGAAAGGAAGCUUAGCGCAUUUCUCAUGUAAAUUAAAUCCACAGUCAGGAGAAAAGUGUGUAUACUUUGCUAAUGGUUCCCAACAUCCAAAGCACUUAGCAACAUCUUCAAGUUUGUCAUCAUCAUUUUCAGUAGAAAUCAAAGGAAGUAGAAGGGCAACAUGUUCAAGCUCUUUCAAAUUAUUCUCAGCAAUAUUAAAUGUAAACAAAGCACAUUUAAUAUGAAAGUCCAAUCCGCAAGAGCAGUGAUAAACAAACUCAUUACCGUCUUUAUAGCAAAAAUCACAUAUGUACCCUGAUGAAUAACCUGGAUUCUUAAUGAGAAGACUAUGAUGCAUAAGAAGAAGAGGAUGAUCAGGAUGAAAAGGGUGAUUAAGCUCCAAAGGUGCCUCAGCACAUACCUUGUGAAGGUAAAACCCACAAUCCUCGGCACAGCUAAAACAUGGAGUUGACACCUUCUCGCCACACAUUGAGCAGUCAGCUACAAUCAGCUGAUCUUCAUUCAAAAGAAGCAAAGUAUGUUGGUGACCAUAAUUCAGUGGCUCCUCCAUUUCUCCUUCCUCUUUGGUUUUUUCCGUCAAUGUAGCAAGAAAGAAAAAAAUUGAAACUCAAUGUUUGAAGUGAAAUACUAAUUUGAAAGAAAGAGACUCCAAAACUAUCCUAGUAUAUUGCUUUUAUUCUGUCUUUGCUUUCGUACUUUACUUUAGUUGGUUUCUUUUAUUUGUUUAUAUUUCUUAACUUUUUUAUAUAAAUUUUAUUUUCUUAAUAAUAAAGUUAAAGAUUAGUAAAGUACAAGACAAACCUUUAUUGUAAAAUUAUGAGGGUAUUUUAUAUAAUAUUACAAGUAUUUUGAUGUUUAUAUAUUAUUUAUUACAUGGAUUUUGUUGUUUUGUGCUAAGAAAGUACAUGUCACAAAUUUAGUUGUGUUGGUUGCUCAAUAUUGAUUUGUAGUUUUAUGUGUUUCAUAAAAAGAAAAGUAUAAAAAAAAUAUUUUAUUCAACAAAUUAAAAUAUUUUAUUUAAUUAUCUUUAUACGUUGUUGAUAAUUUCAUAAAACUUAUUAUGAAUUUUUAAACAUAUGUUAAGAUUCCCUAAGAAAGUUAAAAACAAAAGUAUAGCGAAUAUCUAAAAAAGAAAAACCCCCAAAUCUAUCUUUAGUAUAUUUCCUUUAACGAGUUUCUUUAUACUACCUUAAUACUUUGCUUGAGUGAGUGGAUUUCUUAUAAAUGUUUUAUAAUUCAAUGAGGCUUGAUACUUCGUUUGGGUGAGUGUAUUUUAUCAAAAAUAUUUUUUUUACCAAUACAAUAUUAGAGGAUUGAGAAGAGGAUGACGGAGUUUAAAUCACGUCUAGGUGUGAGACAAGAGCUUUAAUUUGCACAUAUAUUGAAGAUGAGAUAAAGUAACUUAGAUUCCUUAGCAAUGUUAACCAAAUUUGUCCAUCAACUCACCAAUUGGUGAACAAAGCUAGAGAACAUAUGCAACAAUGAGUAAACCUCUUAAGCAACUGUUUCGAAUCCAAACUUUUCUUUUUAAAUUUGGGCCAAGGUUAAGGAAAGGUUUGGGGUUGCAAAGUUUGUACCUUCAAUAAUACUUUCAUGGCAAUGAAGCUAUGCUCAUGACUGUUAAUAACAUAACUUUGCUCUCUUAAUUGUCUAAACAAUCUUUGCUUUUAGCCGUCACUAGAUUUAAAAAACAUGCAACAUUAAGAAAAUCAAGCAUUGACCCUAAAUCUUUGCUUUUAUUCUAAACACGUACUCGUAUUUAUCAUUCAUGUCCAAAUUCGAAUAACAUAAGUUUAGAGUGAAAGAGGAAUGAAAGAAGGUAUAGUGAAAGCACUGAAAAUAAAAGUAGUUGGGAUACCACAUGUAACAGGCUUAUUUUGCCCGGCCCGAGCCUAAAUCACCAAAAACCAAAAUUCAAAUAAAAAAUUAAGUGGUCCAAUCACAAGUCCAUUUACAAGGCCCGAAUAUUCUAUGGCUCAAAAACUAAAACACCAGCCUUAGCCCAAAUUUAUCAGAAAGAAAGAAACCCUAGGGUUUCUAUACCAGUAGUGUGCGCCGCUCCCCACGUGCCUGGUCAGCACGUCCGACGCUCGAGGCUCAACCACCCUCUGACCCGUCCCAUCUCCUGCACAUCCAGAGACUGGUAAAAGAAGGCAAAAAGAAGAAUAAAUAACAGCAGACAACACAGAGCAAGGGGAGCAACAUUUUCUUAAUAUUGUAAUCGGCUAUAAAGCCGAAAGGCAAUCACUUUGUAAAAGGGGGGUUUUUGGAUACAAAAAAAGGUUGUAUCACACAAACAUAUUUUCAGAGAAAUCAAAAGCAGAAAACGAUCUUAAAAGGUGUUUGCUCUUAUUUUUUAUUUUUGAUUUUUUUUCUAUUUUGUUUUUGUUUUAUUUAUUUUAUAAAUCUUUUUAACAAAAUGCUUGAAAUAAAUAAAAAGGGAGGGAAAGGGAACUCACCAUAAUCGCGUCACCGGAAUGCCUCCCUAUCUCGAUUUCCUAGGCCUUUAAGGCUUGGCCUUCAAACGCGGCUUAAUCAGAGGCUGAAAAGCCAUUUGAUGUUGCCCCGACCACCGUCCGUGGUGGAGGAUCGAAGGGCUAACAGCGGCACUAAGAGGGUUUGAAACCCUAGCAGAGGAAAAGGAGAAAGUUUUUGAAACUUUCUUUAAAAAAUCGGCUGGAAAUGAAGCAUGAAUUUUUUUUUGGGUUUUAAUAAUAAGAAGAAAACGGUGAGGUUUUACACCCAAUGCCCUAGCGCCGAAACGGCGUUGUUUAGGGUAGAUCCGCGCGCGACUCGACCCACUUCAGGGGGAUCUGCGCGUUUUGCUCUGUUGGGAUAUUUAUCCCUUUAAUCCCCUGCUUUGUACAUUUGUUCCAAUUUUGUCAUGUUUUCUUUUCUUUUAUCUUCUAAAAUUCUCCCUGCUUAAUUUUAAAAGUUUUAUUUUGGUCCUUUUUAAAUGAUGUGUGUAGUAGGCCAAAUUUGCCCGACCCAUAUAAAAACAAAAAAACAAACCAAAAAUAAAAUAAACAAAUAAAAAACCACAGUCCAUUACAGUCCAAUUACAAAAAAACCAAGCCCAAAUUAAUGUUAAACCUAGACCCAACCCCAAAAGUACACCAGCCCAAAUGGCCCAAAAUUUUUAGAACGAACAGAACCCUAGGGUUCUCUCUCUCGCGCCGCAGCCAAGCCCCAGCCUUGGCCUCCGUACCCUCCAGCAGCCACGCACGCGCGCCUCCGUACUCCAGCCUAGACCCGUACCCGAGCACCAACGCACAGCCCCGUGCUCCGUACCUGCAAAAGAAAACAAACAAAAGCAGCAACAAGCCAAUACAAAAGCAAAGGACAAAAAUUGUUGUUUUCUUUAGUUAUUCGGCUAUAAAGCCUUUGAUUUUCGAUUGUAAAAAGGAGACUACGAACAGAUUACACAAAAAAAGAGGAAUCAAAUACAAAGAAGUUGAAUAUUCUGUAAAGGUUGUUCCCUGUUUUCAUUUUUACACCUCUAUUUUCUUUUUAUUUUGAAAUCUAUCUCAAAAACAAAAAAAGAAAGCAAAAGAGAGGUUUACCUUACGAGUUGGCUGUCGGUUCCCCUUCAUUUCGUCGAAGUCGGGGUUUAGAAGGGAUCCCACAGCCGAAAUGGUCAUCCUUUGAAGCCCGGGGCUGUUCGUCUCUGCUGAUAGACGCAGAUCGGCGCUAAAGGGGGAGUUCUAAGGUCAGACGAGAGGGGUAAGAGGGGCUAGGGUUUGUUUGGCCGAAUGAUUCAGCUUUAGGUCCUUUUAAAGGAUCAAAUAUGACGCCGUUUUAAGCCCGUUUCAAUGGCUCAGAAACGACGUCGUCUAAUCGCGCCCGACCCGAUCGAGUUUGCUGCCCUGAUGACCCGCGUGUUUUUGCGGUGAGGGCAUAUUUCCAAAAUCGGCCCCUCCCCUUUCGCACCACAUUUCAAUCAGUUCGCACUCAUGCUUCAGGAUUUUUUUUAUUACCCCUGCGAUUUGUGCGCGUUUGCACUCUAGUCCACCGUACAGUGUCGCGUUUUGGGCAUCUAGAAUAUUUCCAGCUAUAGUCCUUACAUACUUGCGCGGAAUUUUCGAUUUUUUAUUUAUAAACUAUUCAUCUUAUUUUAAUUCAUUUUUAUUUUAGUUUUCUAUUUGUAUAACUUACCUUUUAAACAUAUUUAAUAUUUCUAUAUCGAUC
This 61058-nucleotide long non-coding RNA is filed under the name Gossypium barbadense (sea-island cotton). RNAcentral's name for it is "long non-coding RNA (GBAR_LNC001060)". The record is from RNAcentral. Lineage: Eukaryota; Viridiplantae; Streptophyta; Magnoliopsida; Malvales; Malvaceae.